ACUGAAUAAGCACCUUUCGACAAAUACUUAUCUAGUUGGACAUUCUGUGACAUUGGCUGAUAUCGUGAUGGUUUGCAACCUUUAUUAUGGAUUUAAGACUGUCAUGACGAAGAACUUUACAUCACAAUUUCCUCAUGUCGAGAGGUACUUAUGGACAUUGGUGAAUCAGCCGAAUUUCAAGAAGGUCAUCGGUGAAGUGAAGCAAGUCGAGUCAGUUCCACCUAUUCAGUCAAAGAAGUCAGCUCCUAACCCAAAAGCCAAAAAGUCACCUGAAAAAGAAACACCGAAAGCUAAAGAAGUGGCAGUGGUGGAAGAAGCACCAAAGCCUAAAGCCAAGAAUCCUCUGGACUUACUCCCCCCAAGUAAGAUGAUCUUGGAUGAUUGGAAGAGGUUGUAUUCAAAUACAAAAACCAAUUUCCAUGACAUUGCUAUCAAAGGUACCAUUUUCUCGAACCCAUCCUCUUUGUAAUUAAAUCUCCAAUUUUUUGUAAGAUUUGAGUCACCUAAUCCUUGGUCUGAUAAACCUGUUUAUGGCGGCACAGGUUUUUGGGACAUGUAUGAUCCUGAGGGUUACUCACUCUGGUUCUGCAACUACAAGUUCAACGAAGAAAACACAGUUUCCUUUGUCACCAUGAACAAAGUGGGUGGAUUUUUGCAGCGUAUGGACUUGGUUCGCAAGUACGCUUUUGCAAAGAUGCUGAUCAUUGGAUCCUCACCUCCCUUCAAGGUGAAGGGUCUCUGGCUGUUCCGUGGUCUUGAGAUUCCGCAGUUUGUGCUUGAUGAAUGCUAUGACAUGGAUCUGUAUGAGUGGACCAAAGUAGACAUAGCUGAUGAAGUCCAGAAGAACCGUGUUAAUGCUAUGAUUGAGGAUCUAGAACCCUUUGAGGGUGAAGAUCUUUUGGACGCCAAGUGUUUCAAGUGAUUUCAUGUCUGGUAGUUGUUUUUUUAUACUGUUUAUUUAUUGUUUAUGAACAGUUUUGUUGUAAUCUCCUCACUUUUAUUUAGUUUUCAUAAAACAAAUUUUGGAUGUUAUUUAGUCAAGUCAGUUAUAUAUUGUAGUUGGUAAUUCGUUGUAUCGCAAUCAUCGUGAUGUUAGCGGAAUUUGUAUGAAUGUAGACAUGAGGUCUAGGAAAAGUUAGUCGUCACCGAGCUUGAUUGAUCACAUAUGAUUUUUAAUCGGGGUGGCGGGUACGUUCUUAAUGAUUUUCGAAAUUUUUAAUUUUUAUGCAUACUCUUUAAGUCUAAAGUUGACUCCUAAGAUCUUAAAUUAUAAAUUCAUUUUUUUAUUCAUCAAACAUACAAAAGGGAGGGAGAAGAGAGGACUGGGGAGUACAACAUUUCAACCAAUUGAAAUUUACCUAGAUUGUUUCUUGCUUUUAAAUCUCAAAAGAUGUUUGAAUGCUUUAAAAAUCUUCCAUUUCCUCUUCACCAAGGUUUUCACUUGAUGCUUUUCCUGUUGCUGUUGCUGGUUUGUAAUUUUUCCUGUAGGGUCGUCGUCAUCACUACUAUCACCACUGUCCAGUAAUGUAUGGCCAACCUUCAAGUACCCACCACCAGCAGUAGAAAAUGAAGAUUUUCUUCUGAUCAACACCUUACUUACAAAUCGUUGCACCUUCACAGCAUAUCUCGAUCUUGCUGCACAAGGGUAGUUGUUAUGAAUAUGACCCUCCCUCUCCCACAUCUUAGUGUACCCAUUCAUUCCCUUUCUCCUCGCAAGCUUUGUAUGUGUUCUGGUUUCUGAUUUGGAACCAUGGAAGAGCAACAGGUAAGAUGGUGUUAAACAAAGUGUGGGAUUUAAAAUGCUAGGGAAGAGAGCGGUGGGGAUGGGUUAUAGUGCUUUUGCUGCUACAAUCUUCAAAUAUUUUUGGUUGUUUCUGACAAAAUAUAUGUACAUAAGUGAGAUCCAAAUUCCACACCUGUUUGGCUGUUUCCAUAUUUCGAUAUUAAAUCAAAAUUAAAAUGAUCACAACUUUGGAUGAUCUUAUAUUAUUCAGACACAGAUACAGGAAAUAAUCCUUCAAAAUCUAAAAACUUCAACUACAGUAUUGGAUUAUUCAACAAUUUUAAACCUGUGAUGCAGCUCAUCAAUAAUUAAUAACCAGACAAUAAUUUACAUACUUUUUAUAAUAACACGAAUAAAUUAUCACGUGUUCUUCAUUCAAUUUAUUCAGAAAAACGGAUCAGAAAAUGAGAGAAAAGAUUCAGAUAUACACAUCUUUUUUCUAUUAAUGUAAUUAACAUCUUAAAUGAAAUCCAGAUAUUCGUUACAAACAAAUGAAUACAUUUAUAAUUUUCCCUACAAGAAUCUCUUCAAUUUCAAUUUCUGGAGAUCCAUUACAUAUCUGCAAUUUAAAAAACAUGUUAAAAAAAUGAAAAUUGUAUAAUAAAUGGUAAACAGCUUAUUAACAGAAUACACUAAAGAACAUUUUUCACUCUUUUGAUUAAAAAAAUCAAACAUUUUUCACACUCAAACAUCAAACAAACAUAUUAUCCAUUUCCAAUUUAACCGAUAUAUUAUCGAGUUUGAGUAUGAACAAUUCCUGAAAAGCUCGAUUCGUUUGCAACACUAUUGGGUGAGAAAAGAUUUUCAUUUUUCCGAAAGAAAAAAAGUCUUAUGUUCCAGAUACAAGAAAAUUGAAGAAGAAUUGAGUUGGGUAAAAAAUAGUUAAGAAAAUAAAAAGAGAAGGAGAAAUUUAUUGGCUAUGUAGGAAAAAGUAUUUGAUUUUUCAAAUCAUAACAGGAGCAUGACAUGGGAUGUUUGUUCUAAAUUUUGUUCGAUUCUAGUUUCUGUGACAAUUUCAUAUUCAGGUAUACCAUUCUUUGUAGCAACGGCUAUAGGUUGGAAAGAGUAGCAAAUUGGAUCUCACGUAGAGUUAUAUCAACCAUAAGAAACAUUACGAAACACAAAACGCAUAACUAAGAUCUAAAAUAGUCUAAUAUAUAUCAAUAAUCAUUACCAUCCGGAUAAACGGUGGAUUUACACUUCUCCAACAUCACCAUGAUCGUGAUUGUCCCCGUUCUUUCCAUCAUCACCGUGAUCGUGAUCAGAUUCGUCGUCGCUAUAAUCCUCGUCAAAUGGCUUCUGCUUGUGAAAGAUGCAACAUUUCUUAGAGCUCUUCUUAUUCAAGAACUCGUUAUCUACUGUACCUUCCUUCCAAGACACCUUCUUCUUCGGUACUCUUAGGCAGAGCACUACGCUCUGCGGUGUUGUAGACGAAAGCGGUGGUUCUUCUAAGGUUAGGGUUACGGUGCUGGAAGCCUCUGUCGUCGACAUCGUCGCCUCUUGUUUUCAACAUUCACAAAUUAAGUAUAAAUAUAAAAUAAAUAACAUUCACAAAUUAAAUAUAAUAAAUAAAUAUUUUAUUAUAAUAAUAAUAUAUUUGAUAAAAAAUUAAUUGUGUCGAUAUGUCCGAGUGGUUAAGGAGACAGACUCGAAAUCUGUUGGGCUUUGCCUGCGCAGGUUCGAAUCCUGCUGUCGACGAAUAUUUUUUAAAUUUAAUUCUUAAUAUUAAUCUUACGACGACUAUUAUAAUUUAUAAGCACUCUUUCCUUGAUUGUUAUAUUUUUUAUAAACAAAUAUGCAAAAUUCCCAUGAAUUAAUUUAUUGGACUCCGAAGUUUAAUCAUUCCUAAAUUUCCCAUCAAAGCCCCUCCCCUCUCCCCCCCCCAAAUCUCUCUUGCUCUUUCUAGAUUGGUUGGUGUCAUCUGCAAGACUGCAAUGGCGGAAGGAGGGGUAGGAGGCGACAGACAUCAGAUUCCUAACAAGUACAAUCUCGAUGCGAAGUGGGACGCUUGCAUCGACUUCUCUCUUCGUCGCGUUCUCUACUCUUCCGUUGCCGGUGCCUUCGGGGGGCUUCUCUUAUUCCGUAAUACCUUUUCUCUUUGAUAUACAAUUGCGGAUUUAAUAAACCAGGCAUAGGUAUUUUUUUUAUUGAUUUCAGUAUUUGCUAUGUGAUUUUUUUUUUCCAGGCAGUCCUGUUACCCGAUGGGCGUCUGUAGCAUUGGGCGCUGGAGUGGGAAUUGGAUCAGCAUAUACGGAGUGCUCUUACAUGUUCAGCACAUCGUCCCCAAAAUUGGCAGAUGUUAAAGCUUCCUCUCAAGUAAGUACAAAACUUUAUUUUUCUGAAUUUCUUUUCAAAAUAUACAUAAACUCAUUUUAUUAUUAUUAUUUGAUUAUUUCUAGUACUUUUAAAUUUCGAUAUACCAUGAAUAAUGAAUUCAUAAAUUAUAAACAAAACAUCUUACUAAUAAAGUAUAUAGGCGCAUUUGUAUAAGUCUAUACUUACUGGUUACCACCCCAACCAUCUUAAUUCCUUUAUCAGGAAAUAAGAAAACAAACUGAUAUUAGUGUCCACACACAACUACAUGGUUUACUUGUCAAAACAUCAUUGUAACAUUAGAUAUGGGAUGAUAAAACAUCUUGUCAAAUAUUGGUCAAAAAGAAAAUUUAAGGUGUCAAUUACAAAAGUUUGGUUUGAUUUCACUCCUUUAACUUUGUGUCUUCACAUUUGCUAACACGAAAUUACUUCAAAGUGCUUUAUGUUGACCUGGUUCUAUAGAUUGAGGCCAUUGUAUUUUAACCAAUGAGAUUUGUUCUUCCAUGUUAAUUUUUAUUGAUAAAACAUGUUAGGGAAUUUUCUUCAAUUGCUAGGAACAUGUUUAUUGUUUCAUCAAAUCACCCACUUUAAUUCUUUCUUUGACAGUGUAAGGAUUGCAUUUCAUAAGAAAAAUUGUAAGAAAUUGAUAGAUUGAUUCGAUAAAACAUUGUGGUCAGUGGUGUUUCGUAUCAUGUAUUCGUGUUAUUGGCAAUUUCUUACCAAUGGCACUUAAAUUGACAUUGGCAAUCAAGACCUACAUUUCAACAUUAAAGUAAAGUCGUUGGAAAUCAGAACACUCUUAUAUUGACUUAAUGGUGUUCUUUUUAUAGAGUAGUUGAUUGUAUUUGAUGCUAAUUCAUAUGAUUACUAAUUCUCAUCAAACUUAUUUUUGUAUUUAUAGGUUUCGCCAUUGAUUUUUUUUCCUCUCCUGUAUCUUAUAUAUCUCAUAUUUAGCGUUCUUUAUGUAUUUACAUACUCAUAUCUAAUGCCUAGUUUAGUAGUCUGCAAACAACAUGCAUUUGAUAUUUUAACCCAAAAAAAUGCAUUUGAUAUUUUACGCUACACAUAAUGUAAGUGUGUUUUUAAAUUCAACAUCAUCUCCUUAUCAUGUUCUGAUCAUGAAGUCAGUUAAAUAAAAAAUGAAAAAUAAAUCACGCUUCUUCCCUUGUAUCAAAUUUACUCAAAAAAAUCAUGUUGCUCGUGUAACUUGAACUUGUUAAUGAUGUUUUUCUUCUUGGUUCUUCGUUGACAGGAGGAAUAAAAUGGGUGCUGAAGUCUACUAGUUGAUGCUGUUGGAAGAAACGAUUUUAUCACUUUAUCCCUUUUGAUCCUGAUCUCUGUGAUUGAGUUUGAGUAUUGUUUUAUGUUUUUUCACUUUUCUUAAAAAAAGUGCCUCUCAAAACUCAAUAGGAAUUUAUCAAUUUCAUCAGUCAUCUUUUUCAUUGAUUUUCAUUCCUUGUUACUAAUUUCAAAGGAAAAAUAAAAAUACCAUCAACAAUUUUUUAUGAAGCUUACUUAACAAAUUCCUUCUCCAAUAUUGUUGUUGAUAUUGGGUAUGCUAUUUUUCUAUCUUUUUCUCCUUCCCUCUUUGUAUUGAAAGGUGAAGUAGAAAUACAUACAUUACAAUUCAUACACACACUACUAACAUAUUCAAAUCAUAAUUACUAUUUGUAAUAAAGCUUAUCGUCCUUCUUCUAUAAAGAAUACUAUCUGGAAUGUUUUGCUCUUUUGUGGUGCAUUCGCAGGUAGGGAACCUCAGCCUAUGUCAAACCAAGUGAGCGAGAAGUUGAUGAUAACUCAUAAACCAGAAAUGCUAAUGAAAAUUACUAAACCCAUGUGCAAAGCUCUGUGAGGUAAGGUUAUGGUAGGUAAUUCUGCUCUGCAAUCUUUACAAGUUUACAUGCGUAGAGGUGCCUUAUUGGAAUCCUUGUGUUUCAAAGAAAGAUUGGUAAACUUGGUAUCUAUCUCUCUGCUCAUACUAUUCCUUCCUUGCUUAAAUCCUUGUUGUAUUUGAUGUUGCUGUUGUUGCAUGAUAAAUGAUCUAAUACGAUCAAUCUCCCUCUCCAGCAUCUCCUGGUGGUCUGCGAAUGACCCCAGGAAGAAAAAUUGAGCACAAGGGUAAAAAAAACGAAGAAUAUUAAGGGAGAAGUUUUAUAUACAUUGCUUGAUAAGAUGUUCUUGGACAAGACCAUCCAAUCUUUGUCUUAGAGAAUCAUUCUCCAAGUUGAGAAUGAAAUUCUGCUGAUCAGUAAAUUGGAUUUCUGCAGAAACCUCACAUCCUUGAGACUGCAAUGCAUGAAUACGACGCUCCAGUUCUGCAAUAUACUGCAUUUUACGUACACGAGAUCUCUGUGCAAAUUGCCUGCAAAACAGAAUAUUAAGGUAUGCAGAUGUAAUUAUCUUACCUCUUCAAAUUUAAUAUAAUACAAUCACCUACUGCUUGGCUCGUUUUGGGUCGGAAUCGGAUUGAUUCUUCAUACUGUCCUCGAUCCAGUGAUCAUUUCUCACCUCUUGAUUCUGUGUUUUGUUGAUAUCCCCAGAAGAAGAAGAAGAAGAAGACCCAUGUCUCAACAUAUUAGGCACCAUCGGUCUUCCUCCUCCAGACAUCUGGUGAUGAUAAGUGGCGCCCCUGCCGGUGAAUGGGUGAGGACGAGGUAUUACAUUGCGUUGUUGUGAAACAAUAUUAAUGUUAUCCCUGCGAAUAUCAUCAUUGCCGUAGGUGUAAGACUCGCUGGAAGAACGGUUAUGGUACAGCGUUCCUUUCUUCGCCGGCGGCGUAUCGGGGUCGUUGAGCAAGUCAUCAAGCCAAAAAGGUUGUUCGUCAAUGAGAACACUUUCGGAAGAUGCACGGUGGUGGAGUCUGUGAUGUUGGUCGAUUACCGGAUAAUUGCCUAUUCUUUGGUCAUGCACAGGUCUUCCUCCGAUGACGAUAGGUUGACUUUUCGGUGGAAGAACAAAAAAUGGGUCUUUACCAUUUCUUCCUCUACUCAUCUUUUAAUUAACCUGAUUAAACGUUGGUAGGUCGGUGAUAUACGAUAUCAAACUACCCACCUACCGACGAGGGAGGGGAGGAGAUUGAUCCGGCGAUGCCACAACUGUAGGAAAGAUAGGAGAGAGAGAUAAAGAUCGAUAAAGAGGAUAAAAUGGAGACGUGGGCGGCGGUUUGGGAUGGCCGUUAUAUGCUCUUUGUAUUUUCUCGGUUGGUUUUGUAUUUUGCUAAAGUGUUUUGUUUAGAGUAGUUGAGGACCGUUGGAUUAGCAAACAGAUUUGGCGUUUACCGUGUGGUUUGUUUGGAUGUAUGGAAUCCAGGUUGCGUGAAACAAAAGACAACAAGCAAACAAAACACACCAACGACAGGUGAUGAAUACAUGACUGAAGAAGAACUAAAAAGAGAGUCAACCGAUCAGAAAGACGUGGUUUUAUUUGAUCAAUGAGUUAACGGUUAAUUGAAAUCCACCUGAAUUACAUAAAACCCCAAGAUUUUGUUCUGUCAUAUGAACAUGUUCUGUCAUAUAGAUUUUUAAGAGUUUUUUUAACCUAUGUAAUAAUGUAAAACUUAUUUAGGAGUCAUUUCCAGAAUCGACGUACCUCAUGGUCGGACGGUCCCGACCGUGAGACAGUGUCGUCCACAUGGACGACCAUCUGCAGUUCCGACCAUGGUACGGUGUCCGUUCGUGCGGACGUAACUUACCUGAUAUUUUGUGAACUUAUUUAAACCAAUUCCUACCAUUAAGGGGUAAUAUAGCCAGAAAUACCUGGAUCACCCCAACGCGACCUCGCUCCAUGCACCUUGAGAUUGAUUAUUCUCACCUUGAUUCGACUCCUUUGGAUCUUCUUGAAUCGACCACUUCUGAAAGAGAUAUCUAGAUCCUUCAUGAGUAAUCUGUCCACCACGUCCACUGGUAGAGGGCUCCCUUUGGCCAAUCAAUUGUUCUUUUCCUGCCAUAUAAACUAGCAUAGACUUGGAAAAGUGUGCUAAUAUAGUCCUCAUGAGGCGCCACCUUUAGUCAUUAGGUUGAUUCAUUCAAUCACAUCCCCCAUACACAAGUCUCCACCAUUAGGAAUCAGACAAUUUGGCAAUUAAUUCUCUUUUAUUUUCUAGGUAAACAUCAUCAUAAGUUUCUAACCCUAAUUUCUUCGAUAACUAUUGAUUGCGAUUCCAAUGGCGCCAACAUCGACUCUAGAUAGUACAACAUUUGCUGCAGGAUCAAUCUUAAUUUCCAACUGUAUCGAGCACUCAACUAGUUUGCAACAACAUUGACCAACUUGGGCCAAGUCUUGAUUUCAAGUAUACAUUCCUUUUGCUUGAGUCCAAGGUGACUAUAGUCGAACCUUAGAACCUAUAGGUGACCUUGGUCGAUCCAAGAUUUUGCUACAUUCCCUUGAUCGAUUAGGAAUUUGGUUGAUUCCCCCUUAAGGUGGUUCUGACUUCCAGAAAGUCUCCUUUCAGUCUAUAAAUGCAGGCGGGAUAUUCGAAUUAGGUUUGGCUCAAAUCUCAAUGUAUGUUUUUUAUGUGAUCUUCCUUGAGCUUAUGGGGCCACAUGCUUUCUCACGUGUACAUGAGUCCUGAGGUCCUAUUUUUUGGAUCAUACUCCUGGUAUGGUACGAAAGGGUCGCCAAUAUUUAAAAUGGAGAAAUAUAGUGUGUAUGAUUUCUCUCUUACACGAUGACCUUAGAAUCGUUUAAAAAGAAAUUAACUACGAACCUGACAACUAUGAAGGAUUAACUAAUACUGAAUAAUUGUUACUAGUUAGACUAUAAACAGAUUGUAACCUGUCAAUUCAUAAAGUCAGUUGAUUGCAUUUCUUUUCAAGUGAUUGUCAGUCCAUGAGGAGAAAGUUCCAUGUUUUGUGUAGGCAGAAAACGUGUGAUGUUCAACUGAUUAUAACAGUUUAUAAACGAAUGUACAUUUUUGUUAAAAUUUUGGCAUUUUACCUCCGAACUUUGACUGCUUUUGGACUGCAUUAAUAUAAGGUUUCUAAUGUUAUGAGAAUCACUUUUGAUUCUUUAAGUUUUUCGCUGGUUGCGAUUUAACACAUGUUUCAAUAUCGACACAUUUGCUAUGACCUCUUCCAGCGUUAAACCUCCUUUUCUUAUUGUCUGUAACUGUGACUGCAAAUAUCACUGCCUUGUUUAUGUUCCUAAGGCAUACAACUUUAUUAGACACGACCACACACCUGCCGAAAUCCUAGUUAAGAUCCAGCUAGAGAUCAAAGAAUCUUGUUUGAGAGUCACCGACUGUGAACAGUUGUAUACAAAUUGUAAUUACUUAAUUAACAUAGAAAUGGUAACUACUAUAGCUAACAAAAUUUAAUCUAGAGAUCGAGGUUCAUAGUUAAAAAUAAGUAGUUAUAAGUUUAACUACUAACAAAUGUAUAUAAAUAACUAUACGUACUUCUAGAUACUAAUUGAAUCAAUUAGUGUACAUCAAAUUAGAUUGUCUUCGCCAGUGAUCGUCGAAAGGGUGAAAGAGAUGGCUGGAAGAAAUCCGACAGCUAAUCAGGAAAAUGUCCAGGUAUCGCUUCCUAUGACAUUCAACAUAAUCUCCUGAGCAAGACGAUCGAAUUACAUGUGUUGUUGGUGCACGAUCUGGAACACCUUAUUGAUGAUGGUCACGAACCUUUGACUAGGAAGAUUGGAGAUCGAACAGGAGAUUCCCAAUCCUCUCUGGAGCAAGUGGAAAAAAGAAAAUCACUUUUUGGCUGGAUGGAUUAGAGAAACAAUCUCGUCGGUAAUUUGUUCGAUUGUGAGAAAGUAGAUCUUUGUCCUUGUUGUUUGAAAAAAGUUGGAGGUUAUUUUAUCUUCGAAAUGCGAACAACACCCCGGCCGGCAAUAUCAAAGAUCAGCUCCCUUCGCUGAAGAAGACAAGUGACAUUUCAAUAAUGGAUUAUCAUGUGCAAGUGAAGGAAUUGACAAACUCGAUGGUCGUUGUUGGCACACCGGUGGGGGAAGAGGCGUUAACCGACUUUGUAAUUUAUUAAUUAUGUACUGAAUUUGAGAACUUGUUUAAUAACCUCCAUUUUCAGAGAGAUUCAAUAAGCUACGACAAGGUAUUUGGGAUCUCGAUUCAAGAAGAAUACUUGAUGAAAAAGAAAUUGAAGCAAAAGCACUUAUCUAAUUGCUGCAAGGAGAAAGAAAAUCUUCUCUGGAAAAAACGUCGUCCUCGUGAUGGCGACCGGUCACAUUCAGUCACUCUAGGGAUGUGGGACUAGUAAAAAAAUUUAUAUUUUAUAUAAUAAAAAAUAAUAUAAAAUUGGGGAUGUAGCGAGAGGCACGGGGUUCGAUCCCCCGCAUCUCCAUUUUUUACAAAUAAUAAAUAUUAUGAAUAUUUGUAAAUUUCACCUGAAUUAUCUCCCAAAAACAACCUGAAACAGUAUUAUUUUUUUUAAAAGCAAGAAACAGCAUUACCCUUAAUUGAUUUAUAAAUAAAUAAGUUAUUGCAAAAGAGUUUUUUCAUCACCCUAACUCUUAAAUCUGCAACAACCAUUUUCUGAUUUUCUCUAUCAAUGGCCUGCUGUCCUCUACCUUCUCUCUUCACCUCCGUCGUAUCAGUCAAAAUGCUGUUCGCCUUCCUAUUCCUGUUCGCGUCAGCUGCCGUCGUCAAUGGGCAAAAAUCAGAUUUGGAGUUCGAGAUGGGUCCGGAGAAGCAAACUCACAUGCACUUCUUCUUCCAUCAUAUCGUCUCAGGCCCAAAUCCAACAUCCAUAAAAAUCCCGACCACACUGUCAACUAACACCACAACAUCAAGCUUUGGAGGACUGCUCAUCAUCGACGACGCACUCACCGUAUCGUCAGACUCUACUUCCAAACCUGUCGGCCGGGCGGAAGGCUUGUGGGCGUCGGCUUCGAUGGAGGUUCCUGCAUCACUGACGACCAUCAACCUCCGCUUCACAGACGGUGAUUUCAAAGACAGUACUUUGGCCAUCUUCGGGAGAUCGUCGGUGGCGGAGAAGGAGUGGGAGCUUCCAGUAGUUGGCGGAACCGGAAAGCUCCGGUGGGCUCAAGGAUAUGCAUCGGCUAAGCUUGACAACUACGAUUCUGUUACAGGCAACUCUGUGGUGGAGUAUGACGUGCAUGUGACGCACGGAUCUAAUUCCCACAUAGCUAAUUCUGGAUCUGGGUCUAGUCCCGGUUCUAUUGGCCCAGCCAGUUCGGGUUCUGGUUCAACUCUGGUCAAAUUAGGCUUCCUAUGUGGGUUUGUUAUUAUGUUGUUGAUCUUCGGUUAGAUUUAUUUUAAUAUUUUAAUAUGAAGACAAGUUAGUGCCGUAGUGGUUUGUGUAGAUUGGACUAUUUGAAUAUUGGAGUUGGUUACCAAAUAAUACAGUUUCUUUUAUUUUAUUCGGUCCGGAUCGAAAACUGAUUGUUCCCAAAGACCGACCCGGUCCCCAGGUAUAAGUAAGGAAGUUUAAAGAAGACCGACGGGUAAACCCUAAACGAGAGAGAGAUGUGGUUUCUGUGCGUGUUUUAUCACAGAUUGCUAGAUUUCCGGCGACCGGAGGUGGAGUCUCUGGCAUCGCUCUUCGGAUCAAUUCAUAAGAAAUUGGAAUGGAAGCUUCCUAAAGAUCACCACAUUGACUCUCCUUUCCACUUUGUCUCUCUCCCUUCCGAACAGAUCGCCUAUAAUAUCGCCAAACGAAGUCUAUCUCUUCUUCUUCUUCCUCCUCAAGUCGCCCCUAAAUUCUAUUUCUCAAUUUCUAGUGGUCAAGUAUAUUUAUAACCAUUGAUGAUGUUGUGUUCAGGUAUACUUGUGAAAGGGAUUUUUGAGCUUUGGGGUGAGGCUACCAGUCAUGAUGAAUUGGAAGAAGUGAUCAAUGCGUUUCCAGAUGAGCGUAAGUCUCCUUAUCUGGAGUCCGAUACUACUUUCCGCAUCGUCAUUGAAAGCUUUGGCAAGGCGAUUAACUUUACCGACCAAAGUCAGAGGAUACAGAGACUCAGUUAUAUACCAUUCAAGGUUAUCUGCCUGUGUUUCUUUUAUUCUUUCAUUCAGUUACGGACCCAAAUUCAGUUUAUAUUAUUUUCCAUCUGAUAAAUUGGUCAUCUUCACAGGGCCGCGUUGAUUUGAAAAACCCAAAGCACAAGUUCUGGCUCUUGGAAACCGAUGAUUACGGGUCAAACAAUAAUGGUCUCCCUCCUGUUGCGAGAAAGAGGAUAUUUUUUGGGAGAGAGGUUGGAGUUUCGGAUAGGAGUAUUUUACCAACUUACCAAUUAAAAAGCCGCACCUAUCUUGGUCCCACUGCAAUGGAUGCUGAAAUGGCUUUUCUCAUGUCCAAUCAAGGUUUGGCACGCCCAGGGAGUAUUGUGUUUGAUCCAUUUGUCGGUACUGGAAGCAUUCUGAUCUCUGCUGCACAUUUCGGAGCAUUGACUAUGGUUUGUUGAGUUUAUAAAAAUCGAACGGAGUCCGACUACCAUAAUUUACUACUCUUUCAAAAUUGAAAAAUUAAGGUUUUUGUUUCAGGGUGCAGACAUUGAUAUCAGAGUUGUACGUGAUGGCCGGGGGCCUGAUUCUAACAUUUGGAGCAAUUUUAAACAGUAUGGUUUGCCACCGCCGAUCACAUUAUUGAGGUCAGAUAACAAUCUUCCUUCUUGGCGGUCGGAACUCAAUGAGGUAUGUGGUGUUGUGUUUUUCUCGUCUGCUUUUUGCCCAAAAAAAAAUAAUAAUAACAACAUCAAACGAUUCAAACUGCUCUUCUUUAAAACUUAAGGUAUUUGAUGCAAUAAUAUGCGAUCCUCCCUAUGGUGUGCGAGCUGGUGGUAGGAAAUCCGGCGGCCGGAAGAUACUGAAAGGCACAGUUGCACCGUACACUGUUCCGGAAGACAAAAAACACGAUCACAUUCCAUCAACCGCGUCCUACUGCCUGGUUGAAUGUAUGCACGAUCUUCUGGAUCUUGCAGCCAAGAUGUUGACUAUGGGUGGCCGGCUGGUGUUCUUCUAUCCGGUUGUCCGUGAAGAAGGGAUGAGCGAGCGAAUAAGCUUCCCCGAGCACCCUUGUUUUACUCGGACGGCUUGCUCUGAACAAAUACUAAGUUUUCGGUACAGCCGCCAUUUGGUGACUAUGGUGAAGAUCUCCCCCUACUCAGAUGAACUGGCUGUGGUUGCUAAAAUGAAGCACUUGGAAUUUAAAGAAAACCAUGUUAAGUGGAUGGAAGAUGGGAAUAUCCACUCUGCCGUGCUCAGCCCGACUGAUUCUGGUCCGGGGAACUCUCCAAGAAAGUCUUCUGAUAUUGAUCCCAAACCUAAAUAUCGGGGGAAAUAUGUGUAGACCUACACAAAUACUAAUGAGACUAUAGAGUAAUUUUUCUGUGGUAAUUAUGUUGUAAUCUAAGGGUCUAAAAAGUAUCCAUUUUGUUUAAUUUAAAAUCAUCUCACAUUAUAUGUAUUGAAUUUUGAAUAUUGAAUAUUGAUCGAACAAUCCAAUUUCAAACCGAUUCAUUCAUAUUCAACAAUUGUAUUUGUCAGUCUGUGUAAGACGUCGUAGAUCUCUUUUCUCUUGUUAUGAUGCCUGUCUUUUACCAAAAACUCAUGUACUUCGCCGCCUAUGAAGAUGGAACUGCAGCCGGGAAUUUUCUCAACCCCGACCUGUUUCAUCUUAUGACGGACAUCGGCCGCUUCCGGCCAUUCACCAAUCGAUGCCCGUGCGUUCGACAAAAGCACUCGGUACCCCGAAUUCAUAGGAUCAAAAUCCGUCAUCUUUCUGCUCACGUAAUGUAUGAUCUCACUAUACAGGCCAUUGUCAUGAUUCUUACAAGAACUCAACAAGGUUAGCCACGUUAGAGACUCUGGCUGCACCGGCAUAGAUUCGAUGAACUGGAUCGCCUCUUCCACCUUCCCCGCCCGGCCCAGGAGAUCCACAAUGCACCCGUGAUGUUUGAUGUUGGGUACUAUGCUGAAUUUGUCGAUCAUUAUUUUGUAAAUACUGCAACCUUCCUUGACGAGACCGCCGUGUGUGCAGGCAGUGAGUAUGGCGAUGAAGACGGCUGCGUCUGGCUUGAUCCCUCCAUUCGUGCACAUCUCGUCGAAAACUCCGAGAGCUUCCUUGCAUUUUCCAUUGAGACCAAGACCGGAGAUGAGUGAUGUCCAUGUGAUCACACAUCGGUCCGGCAUUUGCCGAAAUAUAGAUUCUGCAGUCUUGAUAUCUCCACAUUUUGCAAACAUGUCAAUCAAAGCGUUUCCUAAGUUUAUUCCAACGGUUUUUAUAAAUUUGGGAUUUUUCUGUAAGUACGAGUAAAUCCACUUUCCAUGCUCCAGAUCACCUAACUGGGUGCAUGCCGAGACGACGGCGAUCAUCGUAGCUCUAUCCGGUUGACUGCGCCCAUCGAUUAACAUUCGGUGGAAAGUUUGCAACGCAACGGAAAACUGUGCGUUGGAAUUAUAUCCCGAUAUCAUAGCGUUCCAUGUUACCGUUGUUUUCACCGGCAUCAUCCCAAACACCUUCCUCAUCGAUUCCAUAUCUCCGACACUUGCGUAGCCGGAGAUCAUCGCCGUGCAAGAAAUUACAUUUUUGCAUCCCAUCUUCUCAAAAAUCUCUUUGGCGGCAAUCAUGUCGCCAGUACCAGAGUAGCCAGUGAUCAUGGUGUUCCACGUCAACUCAUUCCUCUCCACUUCUGGCAUCCUAUCAAACACAGCUUUCGCGGUGGUCAUCUCCUCCAUCUUCGCAAGACCUCUAAUCAUAGAAUUCCAAGACACUGUGUUUCUGUCCGGCAUUUUUUCGAACAGAAACAAACCCAGUUCUAACUCUCCAUGAGCCAUGCAAGCGCUGAUCAUGGAGUUCCAUGAACAGACAUCUCUUUCCAUCAUUCCAUCAAACACCUUCUUUGCUAUCUCAAAAGCUCCAAUCUUCGAGUAAAAAUCCAUAGUUACGUUCCCGAUAAAUACAUUCCGUCCGUGCCCACAUCGCAAAAUCUGUCCAUGAACCAUCUUCCCUCUCAUCAACUCUCCCAGAACCUCACAAGACCGGAGCAAAAAUGUCAAUGUAUAACUGUUGGGCCAGAGCCCGGCAACCCACAGCUGGUUGUACACAUAAAAAGCGUAACCCGGCCGGUUCAUAGCAUUGAGAUGUUUGAUGAAAAAGUUGUGGGUGAUCACAUCCGGCGCCGGGCAUUGCCGGAAGAUCUCGAGGGAAUAUUCAACAGAAGAGGAAACAGAUAUAAGGCUGGAGAGAAGAAGAUUACUGUGAGAGAGAUGAUUGACGAUGAUCUGGACAUGGGUUUGCUUCAUCUGAUUGAGGCUCAUACCACAACUGUAGUUUUGCAGUAAUCGGAGGAUUUUUCUUUUCAUCGGAAGUUUAUUUUACUAUUAAAAAUACUCUAUUUAUUUCGGCGAGGCGACUCACUCAGUAUGAUCUUUAAUAUUUAUUAGUUAUUAAAGGAAGAACACGUACGACGGAUCUCUCCAUCUCUACCGUCCGUUAUAACUCCGAUUCGCCCCAUCCGUACGAUUGCAUCGACAAAAUCCUUCAUAAAAGAAUCCUUUCCGGUAGCUAUGUACCCGUCGAUGACUGAUUUUGUCGCCCGAUCCUCAUACAUUGCCGCAUCGGAUCUUAUGACAGUGAACCCAUCUCUUACAUUAGUUAAGAAGUGGUCGUCGAAUUCCAUCUCGCUUCCUUCAUCCAACGGAAAUCUGACGAAAUUAUCCCCACCUUCGAUGCAUUUAGACUCCAGUACCGGAACGAAUUCAGGGUUUAUCGCAGAGUCGGGUCUUCCUUCUCCGUACAGACGCUCGGUGAUGAAGAAACACGCCGAUGUUCCGAUGGUGUGAGCGGCUAUAAAAAAAAAGAAAAAAUACGUAUAAUUUAGAAUAAUACCAUUAUAAAAGAUAAUAAUAUUACAGAUUUAUUCUAAAAACGGUUGAAAAUCAUAAUUAUACCAUUGAGAACGACCAUGUCUUUCAGAGAGAGACCUCUGAGGGAGAAUUUUUUAGUUAGAAGAUCAACAGAGUCGUCCGGCUCGACCAUGUCGUCAGCAUCUUCCACGUUGGAGACCAACCCAUCUUUUCUUCCCGUUUCGACGCUGUAAUCGGGACCUCCGGAUAGGACGAUGGAAUCCCGAGCCAUGAGAGCGACGAUAUCGGAGCAAGACACAACCUCAGGACACUGUCUUUCCAACUCAUCUUUUGCUCUGUCCACAACAUCGAAUCCUUCCAGUCCAGCAUGUCCUCGUGCAUCUCUCUCCACCGUGCCGUCGGAAUGAUCGAUCAGUACAGACCCAUCGCAACCAUCGAUGAAGCAGUCAUGGAAGUGGAGACGGAGGAGUCUUCCGGCAGUUGCUGGUUGAGAAGAGAUUGCAUUUUCAACGACUUCUCUGACGAUGGACUCAGCGUUUGGACAUGUGGAGUCGUAGUACCCCUGCCGAAGCCCAUUGGAGAGAUGAGAGUGAUGAUCAAUUGAGAGAACAAAGAUGAUAAAAGAUGUGACAAGGAGAGGAGGAGAUGACGAUAUUGACAUGGAAGAGAUGACGGGGAGAAAGAACAAACAGGUGAUGAAAUUGAUAACAAGUGAAAUGAAUUAAUGAAAGAAAUGUCGAUGUAUUUAAACGGAAAAAACUACCAACUACAUAUGUUCUUUUGCAGUUUGUAUCUAAAGCGAACAGUAAGUGAACUACCCACUUACUUGGUUCGACUCGAUGUCAGAUUGUUUGUUAAAAUGUCAUUAUAGUUAGAACAGAUAAGGAAAUGCUAUGAAGAUGUCAAGUCGUUUGGAACUCCAAAUUAACUAAGUUUUCAUUAAUUUCAAAACCAAGAAAAUAAAUGCACUCAAUGAUAAAACAAAAUAUUCGACGGUUGGCAAAAAAAGAUUUAAUUCAAAUUACAACAAUAUUCGAAACUCAUCAAAGGAAAAGCAUAAUUGUAACGUAACACUAAAAAAACAAAAGUCUGAAUCCAAACAUACUCAAUACUUCAUUUUUGGAAGCAAGCUUAUUAUCCUUAAUCGAACAGGCUGAAUCCAAGAUCAUCAUCAGACUCGUCUUCAGGUUCGGGAGCCUUUUCCUCGACAGCAGCUGGGACAGAAGAUGAAGCUGCAGCUUCUGAGGGAACUGCAGCCACAGCAAACUUGCUGGGAUCCUUGAGAUACUCCUUGACCUUCUCAGCUUGAGGAAAGGUGUAUUCAGUGGCAAGGGCAAUGGAAAGUACAUUUUUGUAGCCAUUGAGAAACAUGUGAGGAGCAGCUGCCAAUGUCGGGUAUGAGAUUGCCAGAGACAAGGAAGUCACCAUAGCAACACCGGCUGCAAAUUUUUCUAUAAGGUCAUCAUUGGUGAGGGACAGAACCUCAGGGCUGAAUACAGAUCCACUGUCGUAAACAGAUUGGACAACAAGACCAUACGAGAAUGGUCUGAUUCCCAGUUUAGCAAGAAGAGCUGCCUCAGAAGAUCCAACCUUUUCACCUGUCUUGAUAAGUUCCACAGGGGUGAUGAUCUCAACAGUACCCUUGUUAAUCUUUGUGGGAAUGUUUAGGACCUAUCAGUAGUCAGUAGAAUAAAAAGCGGACUGUAGUUUAGAUCAUGUCACCAACUAUGAAUUAUCAAACAAAGUAAACAUGAAUGAACCAUGUACCUGGAAAAAGGAAGUCUGGGAAGGAUCCAGACCAGUGUUGCCAGGAGGAACAACCACAUCAAUGGGAGCGACAAGACCAACACGAGCAGGCGCUCCAACCUAUCAACAAUUAAAUUUUAUAAAAUGGAUCAGAAUUGAGAAUAAAAGCAUGAAGGAAGAAACUAGCAACAUAGAUUCUCAAGUGUGGCAAAGGAAACACACUUAAGCGUCACUGCAAAUAUUGAGAAAGAGGCCAUUAUUUUAAAACACCCAUGUUCAUGUAAAAUUCAUAGAAUAAAGAAGCUUGAGUGGUUGACAAAUUUUAACAUUUAUCCCCAAUUCAUAUAGAAAAAAGAACAUAUUAAGAAUAUAAAUACGAUUGAAAAAAAAUCUCCGACAUCCAAAGAAGAGACAAAGCAGUAUAGAUUCAAAGGGAUUCUAAAGAAGGGAUUGGGGAUGUUGACAGACAGAUAAUUAUUUGAAAUUUUUAUUGAGAAUAUAAAGACCAUAUUCAAAAUGGACAACUUAUAUGAAGACAGAAUUAUAGAACCAGCAAGCAACACAAAUGAAAAGGGAUAAGGAAUACAAACCUUGUACUUUGCAACCUCAUCGCUAACUUCUUUGAGAUCUCCCUUGGUAAAUAUAAGUCCAACAUUACCCUAAAAUCAAUCAUACAAUGAAAAAAUCGGAGAAUUAGAAAAUAACCAUAGAAAAAGAUAAGAUAACGAGAGGGGGAAAUAUAUUGAUGAAACAUACGGCGAGGAGAGGUAAGAUGUUGAGGUACUCGUUAUUUCCGGUAUUCUCAGCGUGCACCUUGAUAGAUCUCUUCAUCAUUGUGUUCUUUCCCAUUAAUAUAAUGGAUUCACCACGAAGUCCUUUCCUGAUAUUCUGAAGAUGGUUGGAUCCAACAUUAUCAGCCGCAACGACAAGAACCUGACUGUAGUCAUUGAGAAGCUGACAGAGCUUCAAGUCAUAGGCAAUCUUCUUCUCCUGCUUUGAAACCUUGACCGCCAUUGGAUUUGGAGCAAAAUAAAUCAAAAAGAAUGAGGAAAACCUAAAUCUUUCUCUACAAAACUGUUAGAUAUCGUAAACGCAAGAGGACCAAGGCGAAGCAGAAGGCUUUGCCAAGGCAGACGUCUAGAAUUCGACGAUCUUUUUAACCUCGGAAGAACGUGACGGCAAGAGACGAGUAAGAGAAGAAAGAAACGAAAUGUAUGUAGAGAAACCCUAAAAUAUUAAAAAGAGACGUGUCUUUAUUUAUAGUAGACUAACGAGAUGAAGGGUAAUGAUGUAAUAUGUGAUUAGUCCAAAUAGAAUUACGAAAUUACGUUUAAGGCCGGCCAGGCCCAUAUAUCGUUCCUUAGAUAAUCUUAUUAAAUUGAGAGGAUCCAUUCAUCCAAGAUUCUAAUUUCCAAGUUAGUGUUAGUUAAUUUUUAAUCUUUAGUUGAUGAUAGAACAUUAAUAUUUUUGUGUAAAACCCUCUGUCUUAAAAAUCAACCACAUACAAGGGAAAAAAUCCCAGAAAUGGUGACAUUUGGUUGUGCUUGGCCUGUACUCUGUUAUUGGACAGAGAAUCAGUCAGCUUCACUUUAAAGGCUCAUCCUCAACUACUACCAAAACUAAAACAGAGAAACCUUCAAAAUUACUGAAAUAAGAAAUUGGCACAAUUAAUGGAAAAUGAAACAUUUUUUAUACAAACAGCAAAUAAGGAAGCAGCUACAAAACAGUAAGUCCUCUUAUACCAACUAAGACUAACAACUAAGACAAUUAUUAUAAGUUUUUCUCACCAAAUCUCAGCUGGUAGUUCACCUGCCUCGCUUUUCGAGAAUGCAUUGUUGGAUCUCCAAGAAUUAUUGCACAAUAAAUAAAUCGUGGGAGCCCAUAAAUUGUUUACCAUUUCCCUGUAAAACCUUCAGUACCACACAGAUAGAAAUUAAGAUACCUGCCCAUAAACAUGCAGCAGAAGCUAAGAAAAGCAAUUGUUAACCUCGUAAGACAGAUGAAGGCAAGAAUGCAGAUCCAAUUCAACCCAAAGGUAGUUUUACUCUUCCCAUGUCUUCUCUUUCUCAUCGUCGUCGUAAUCAGAUCCAAGUCUUCGGGUGAACAACCACAAGCAUAUCUAUCAAAAAUUUCACAGUUGGAGCAACAUGGCAGCCAAACAUGCAAUUAUAAGAUUCCAAAAUCUCUUGCACAAACCAUCAUCCAUUAUUCAAUUUCAAAGAACGUCCCACAGCAAACUUUCAGUGAGAUCUCAGUGACUGCACAGAUACUUGAAAAGAAAUCACCAUGCAACUUCUUGGUCUUCGGGCUUGGCCACGAUAGUCUGAUGUGGGCAUCACUGAACUACGGUGGACGAACUGUAUUCCUUGAGGAAGACAAGAUGUGGAUCGACACUAUCAAAAAACAACUUCCUGGAUUGGAAUCACAUCACGUUGCUUACAACACAAAGGUAAACCAAGCAGAUGAGCUCAUGGAGUCCGCGAGAGUGCAGGAAUGCAGAAUGCUGCAUGAGGUAGGAACUUCAAAAUGCCCUCUGUCAUUGAAGACUUUGCCUAAAUUUGUGCAUGAGACAGAGUGGGACUUGAUCAUGGUGGAUGCUCCAACUGGGUACUUUUCUGAAGCACCGGGGAGGAUGGGAGCCAUAUACACAGCUGGUAUGAUGGCUAGGAUGAGGAAGAAAGGGGAGACUCAUGUGUUUGUACACGAUGUGAAUAGAAUCGUCGAAGAUAAAUUUUCAAAUGCCUUUCUUUGUGAAGGGUACAUGAGUAAGCAGGAAGGGAGACUUAGACACUUCACAAUUCCCAGUCACAUGACCAAUGCAAACAUGCCCUUCUGCCCCUGAAUACAGAAUAGAAGGAAAGAUGGUCAGUAAUUCAAUAUCAGUAUGGAAUUUAAGUAUUUGUUUGGAGUAUGAUGUUGUAUUUCUUUCUUUCUUUUCAAUGUUUGGUUAGACUUUGGAAUUGUUACUACUUCCCUAUUUUCAAUCUUACUUUCUUAGUAACUAAACUAGCUAUAAACAUAUAAAUUUUUUCAAAUAACUAGCUUAUAAAGGACUUGAUCUGUUGAUCAUCAUCAUUAUCAAAUAUCGACCUUUAGGAAGUAGCACAAACCCAACAAUAUAGUAUAACACAAUCACAGUAAUAACAGGAACUCAACAGACUAAUAACAGUAAAAAAAAUUAGAUCUCGAUACCUUAAUUCUUCUCACUGGGGUUUUGCCCAAAUAGACCCUCAAAUUGACAGACUAACGGAAACUGAGAAAAAAAAAUCGAGGAUUACCCCAAAUUGAUCGGUACCUUAGCAAUAAGGAGGGAGGAGUCUGGUAUAUAUGAACACAAGAGCAAAACAAAGUACUCAAAGUAGCUUCCAUGGAGUAAUGCCGUGAUGGAGGGCGGAAGAAGAAACAGUCGACAGACAUUCCAUUAAGUCUUUGGAAAAAUUGCAUUUCUUAUACCAUCAAAUCUACUGGGUUAUAAAUAUUGGAAAAGUAAGAGGAUACAAAAUGCAAAAAAAGAGAAUUACAAAAUAGAAAGAAGGUGGCAGAGCAGAGCGCCACUUACUAUUUACCAGGCAGACUUUCAACACUAAAUCAAAAGCGUCAACCAUAUCCGAUCUUCCUCCCCCUUUCCACCGCGAAACCAGGUCAAAGAUCACACCUUUUCUAUCUCCUCUCCGUCGGAAAAACCCAGAAGAAGGCAAUGACGCAUGAGUAGUAAGAUAGAUAUCUGGAUGCUUUCUGGUUAAUCUAUAGUUGUAGGCUUGUAGCAGCGGUGGUAGUUCCUGAUUUUUUAUUUUCUUUCUUUGUUCUCAAUUUGGGUUGUAGUGAUUACCUCUUCAAGCUUCUUCUGAUCGGAGACUCCUCGGUGGGGAAGUCUUGUCUUCUUCUCAGAUUCGCUGUAAGCAGUUAUCCAAUUAUCAUUCCUCUCGUUUCCCAUUGCAUUUCUCUUCUUGAAGUGUGUGCGAAGUUGAUUUAACACCCAAUUCCGGGGUGGGGGUUAUUUGUUGAUCUUUUACAGGAUGAUUCAUACAUGGACAGUUACAUCAGUACAAUUGGUGUUGAUUUUGUGAGUUUCCCCUUUUAUGAAUGAAUUUUGUUUGAUUCAUUAUAAAUGGACGUUUGUUUGUGUAAAAUUUAGCUUUUGAAUUAUUUCUCUACAUGAUUCUGCAGAAAAUCAAGACGAUUGAUUUGGAUGCGAAGGUCGUCAAGCUCCAGAUUGUGAGAUUUUUAUUUUCUCUGUAUAUAUCGAUUUUCUUUCCAAUGAAAUGCCAGUUGUAUGAGAGCUAGAAUUAUGGAGAUUCAUGUUUAAUAAAGUUCCCAUCAACCAUCCAGCACCAUGCUGUGUGGUUUAGAACUAAUUCUUGGACCCCAGGAUGGAUGUAGUGAAACUGCCUUCGAGUCUUUAUUCUCUACCAACCAGGUUGGAUUGAUUUGCUAUUUUAUUUAAAGAUGGUGGGAUGUCUGGGUCAUUGAUCACCUUAGAUCUUGAUCAUUGUUGAUGUUCAACAUCAAUCAGAACUAGUUUGCCAAACCUAUGGCCAUGGAAUUACAAAUGCAGUAAACUAGCUUUAUCUUCAUUCUAGAAGUGAAGGCUGAGAACUAAGAAGUCACAUCCAUUGUCCAUUUUUCCAUAGCUAGUUGACAUCCAUGGGGGUUGUUGUUGUAAAAUCUCCAGGUUGGAUUGUUUAUUUGCAAAUGGGGAUUGUUGUUUGUCAUUUUUUGCAAAUGUUUUUCAUAACAUGGUAAGCUUAUGUGCUUACUGUCCCACAUUUGACAUUUUAUACACUUGAAAUAUGGAUUAACUUACGAUUUUUUAUCAGUGGGAUACUGCUGGGCAGGAGCGGUUCAGGACCAUAACUAGCAGUUACUACAGAGGAGCACAUGGAAUUAUUGUAAGAGAAGCAAUCCUCGGAUUUUCACAUUUUGUUUUUGUCUGCUUUGUAUAAUGGAGUAAUUCCAUCAAAACCUAUAUUGCGACGAUUUCAUUCGUGAUUUCCAGAUUGUAUACGAUGUCACUGAGAUGGAGACAUUCAUCAAUGUCAAACAAUGGUUGAAGGAGAUUAAUAAUUAUGCUAGUGAUACUGUACGCAAGGUACUAGUUGGAAACAAGUGUGAUAUGUUGGAAAACAGAGCUGUCAAAACUGAGGAGGCAAAGGUACAUCAUAUGAUUCAUAUCACAAAAAAUGUUUGCCCAAUGUCUGUAAUCUGUAUAAUUUGAUCAAUAUUUUUUGCAGGCCUUUGCUGAUUCACUUGGCAUUCCUUUUAUUGAAACAAGUGCUAAAGAUGCAAUUAAUGUGGAACAAGCCUUCUUAACCAUGUCUGCUGAAAUUAAGAAAAAGUAUGCAUAUGACUAAGACUAAAAUAUAUAUAGAAUAAUAGAAAUCAAUAUUGAUAUUGUCAGUUUUAUCUUUGUAGAAAACAGAAAAUAAUGUGUUAUUUGAUUGCAGUAUGAACAAGCAUCCCAGUGGCAAUUUCAAUUCUGCAAAUACAGUUAACAUGAAGGGCCAACCAAUCAGGCAGGACGAACCACCAUCCUCAAACUGCUGUUCAUGAUUAUUUAACAUCACUAGCAUCAAGAAGCGAUGCCUGACUAAAUGGCUAGACUCCUAGACCUGUAUUAGGGUUCGUUUAUAUGAUUUUCUGGAUGCUCUUAAAAUCUUGAUAGACCAACCGGUGCCGUUUUUUUAAAUAGUAAAUAUUUGAUGUAUGUGGAGAGAUUUAAACAUCCAAUAUUCCAACCUUCUUUACUACACCAAAUGGUUGCAGACUUUCUGUACCAUCCAAUACACAUGUCUCUGUGAGGAUGUAACACUACCAAUAACAUUUUUUUUUAUUGAAGAAAUAUUCCAGUUUGAUUACUUCCACUUGCAUCAUUAAUGUAUUUUAUUACCAAUUACAAUUUGAUUCAAAACGCAAAUUAUUCAUCAAAUCGAAAAUAACAAUUGUUAGUAUUAACUAUUGAGAUACAAAUAGCUAUUUAGAUUAUGAAAUUUGAAUAUAGAUUUCCACAUGAGGACUAAAGAGUUAGAUAGAUGGUUUAAAUGAUUUUUAAAACCAAUUUUUCUCAGAUCGUCUCUCUAAUAAGCUUGUGAUUUUUGUAAUCAUCAGGUUGUUUGUUCUUGAGGUUCUUUCUCAGCCAUCUCUUUUUUGUAAGCUUGUAAUCUUUCUUUAAACUUCUUACUUUCUUCAAAAUUAGCUUUUCUUUUGAUUGCUUUCUGUAUUGAUAAAGAAAAAUUUGAUCAUGUCGGGAAGGAAAAGUAGCAGAGAAUGAAAAAAAAGUAACAAUACUCACUUCUUGCCGGAAGCAAUGAUCAAGCUUCACCUUAAGCUCAGUGCAUUCCCCAAAAAAUUUUCGAAUGGGAUUCUCAGCAUGGCACUUUUCGAACUCUUCGAUAAUCUUUCAAAUUGAAAAAAUAACAACCAAUAAUUACUAAUGGAAUAAAUAUAAGUUUUCAAGUUUGGUAUUUUUUAGAAGAGGCAUGCCUAAAAAGAAGUUAAAGUAGGAAAAUAAAUUGCUUAGAAAGUAAAAAGUAAAAACCCUAAAACAAACAAUAUAAUGUUAAACCUUUACGGAAUGAAUCAAAUUCCAGGUCGAAAACCCAAUACAACGGAUGAUAAAAUGAAUAUGCAUACAUCAGCACACAUGGGAUGUCGGUGAAGGGUCAAAGGAGGAUGCAUUCUUUUGCAACUGCUUCACAAUGAGAGAUACUGAAUGAAGAAGCAAAAUGUAAUCAGAUGCAAGUAAAUAUUUAGCAACAGAAACAAAAAGGUUUGGAUGUUUUAUGUGAUUCUUGUACUAAAAAGCUAAUAACUUAGAUAUUGAUUAAAGUUUAUAUUUGAUACAAUCAUAUAAGGAAGAUUUUUGGAAACUUGCAUAACAAUUUUAUAGAACAUUCAACAUUUUCAGCAAAAGAAGUACUUUAAUCGAAGAACAAAGAAUCUAAACCUAAUUAACUAAUUGCCUUGAAUUCAACCCAAUUCCAAAGGUGCAGAUUUCAGAAAAAUUCAAAGCGUUUUUAACCCAUUGAUAAUUUGCUAUUAUUUAAUCAAGAAAUACUCCAUUGAAUGAAAUAUACGUUUUUUAACCACUUACAUUUUAUUUCAACAAGAGAUCCAGUAAAUCCAGAGGUUUGGAGUUCUACCAAAAAAGUGUAGAUUACAUAGUUUUUAUCGAAUUCUCCUUCCUUUAUUUUACAAACAAAUAUUGUAUGAAAUAAAACAUACCCUAAAUUCAAAGUUUCGCAAGUUCUCCCUCGCUAAAAAAAUUAUUUUUCUUCUUCUGCAAAUUGAGAUAUGGAUGUAGCAAAUCAUAAUAAAGUUUGUUUCUCCUCCAUCUCAAAGAAUAAAGAAAUAAAACUUCAAAUUUGGGCGAAAUACUAAAUAGAUAGAAAUACAAUCUAAAUCAAUCAGAUUAAAGUUUCACACGAUAAUUGAAAGUUUACAAAAAAAAUCUCACCACAAAAAUUUGUUCUUUUUUGUUUGUAAAAGAGCGAUUCAGAGAAAACGGAUGAGUACGACGGAAGACAGAUCGUCAAUGGCAAGAGAGCCAGUGGACAGGUGAGAGCGAUUGGGGUUUUUAUAGUGGACGAACCCUUACCGAAUGGAUUUAAAAGGCCCGUACAUGAGAUCCGAGACUGUACAGAUUUGGCCUGAUUUCUAAUCAUAUCUGGAUUGAUUUCUAAUUAGACUUCAAUAUCGGAUGUUUUGGAAAGGAUAUUUUGUUAUAAAAUUAUUUCAGAGGAUACAUAAUAUAUUUUUCUCCGUUUAUUCAUGUAAUAUAUUUCUCCAAGGGUUUCUCAUCUUCCCCAAAUCCUUAUCUUCUUCGAUCGUCUUUAGAAUUCGGCCGCCUGAGAGAGUUUCCAGAUCUGAGAGAUCGGGUUCAAGCUUGUGCAUUGUCAACAAACUUCCAUGGCUCUGGUAAUUUAGAAACUUUAUUUUGAUCUUGGAUGGAUCGAUCCCCUCCUGCAUUUCGUCAUAUAGAGCGAUCUCUGCGGUUUUUUCUUUUUUUCGUAGUGAUCGGAAGUUAUAUGAGUUUUUUUCAACGAUUUUUCUUCUUCCUCCUUCUGGUCCUUUUCAAUGGAAUAUAUAUUGUAUGUAACUAUGUAUUGGAAAACAUGAUGAACAAGUAAAUACAGUGUUUUGGUUUUAUUUAGUAUUUUCUUUAUUGAUUACAUUCUUUCACGUUCUUCUACCAUAUGCACGGGUGAUCGAAUCAGAGGAACACGAUUUUGGUUAUUUCAUCGCGUGUAUUAUACGAUAGGAAAUUUAGAGAAACUAGUAUUUUAUACUUUUACUUAUAAUAUUUUAGGUUUAUGAUACGAUUUUGAUUCGUUUUUUUGCAUAUUCGUUCAUUGUUUUAUCAUUAUAUGUUUGCACAUUGAUUUCCGCUACUUGAUUUUAGUCGUAGAAAUAUUUUUAAUAGUCAAGGCUUAAUAGGCAAUAAAGUUCUUAGAAAUUUUCAUGUAUUUUUUAGAAAUUUAUACACUUAUAUGUAUAAAUGUUCUAGCUAGUAUAUCUCGAUUUAAAUACUAUAAAACCGUUUGGACAUUUGGACUAGUGGAGGUCAUUAACUAAAAGGACACACACCAUGGUGGUCAACGGAGGUGGCAUGGAGUUGAUCAGAAAGAGCGUCAAGAGACGAUAUGAAGACUCGAAAUCACUUGAGAGCUUUUAGGUUUUUUUUACCCUACUGAUUUCAUCCAUAAGUAUCAAGCACAUGGGUAAUUAGGCAGAGUUAAACCAGAUCUGUCUAUGAAUCUACCAGAGUAUUGCUUCAUAUCCUUACUGCAAUGCUAAGGAAAACAAUACCAAAUUCUUUUCAAACCCACAGUCAAACCUUGACUAAGGGUUCAAAUCUCAAUAAUUAUAUAAUUAUAGUUUAGAGGUCAAGAAUAUAUAGCUUGAAUUGGUAUUUUUCAUUUUAUAUAUUAGUUUAGCUUUAUAACAGCGUUAUUUUCUUCUUAAUGAUAUCAAAAAUAGAUCUUCUCUUUAUCAAAAAAAAAUCCUCAUCCAAGAAAUGAAAAAACAUUUUAUUUUAUUUUGCCAGGUACUCCAUACUUCUCCUGCAAACAAAAAUGCAUAUAAGGUGCUUGUUGCUGCUGAGUACAGUGGUGUCAAAGUUGAUUUGGUAGACAAUGUGCAAUUUGGAGUGACCAAUGUGACUGCUGAGUUUCUUAAGAUGAAUCCAAUUGGGAAGGUACAUUUUUUAUUUAUUUUUGCCAUAACAUUCCCAGGAUCUCAUUACAAAGUAGAUAUAUCAUUGAAAUUUAUUUUUACCGAAUAUACUAUUGUUAAUUUGUUAUGUAGGUUCCUGUACUACAGACUCCUGAUGGACCUAUUUUUGAAAGCAAUGCCAUUGCUCGCUAUGGUAAGUACCUCACAUAUAAAAUUAAUUUCUAAAUUUUCAUUAUGAACACCUAGAUAAGUUCCUCUGGUUUUCUACAGUUACGUUGCAAAAGUCUGACAAUCCUCUAAACGGUUCAUCCUUGAUCGAUCAAGUAAAUCAUUUAAUUCAAAUCCAUCUAAUUAUCCGACGCCUUAUAUGCGAAUUGUUUCUCUGUGAUGCAUUAUUAACAAUGUCAAACUACUUGUUCGCAGGCUAGAGUAGCUCAGUGGAUGGACUUCUCAAUGUCGGAGAUCGAUCGUUGUAUUGGACUUUGGCUUUAUCCCAGACUUGGAUUUUCUCCUUACCUUCCUCCAGUUAGUUGAUCUCUUGUUUUUUUUUCUUUCUAAAAUCUUAAAGUGAGGUUUUAUUUUAUUAAUUUAUUAUAUUCUAUUUAUAUUUUUACAGGCUGAGGAGUUCGCCAUCACUUCUCUGAAAAGAUCUUUGGAGGCACUGAAUAAGCACCUUUCGACAAAUACUUAUCUAGUUGGACAUUCUGUGACAUUGGCUGAUAUCGUGAUGGUUUGCAACCUUUAUUAUGGAUUUAAGACUGUCAUGACGAAGAACUUUACAUCACAAUUUCCUCAUGUCGAGAGGUACUUAUGGACAUUGGUGAAUCAGCCGAAUUUCAAGAAGGUCAUCGGUGAAGUGAAGCAAGUCGAGUCAGUUCCACCUAGUCAGUCAAAGAAGUCAGCUCCUAACCCAAAAGCCAAAAAGUCACCUGAAAAAGAAACACCGAAAGCUAAAGAAGUGGCAGUGGUGGAAGAAGCACCAAAGCCUAAAGCCAAGAAUCCUCUGGACUUACUCCCCCCAAGUAAGAUGAUCUUGGAUGAUUGGAAGAGGUUGUAUUCAAAUACAAAAACCAAUUUCCAUGACAUUGCUAUCAAAGGUACCAUUUUCUCGAACCCAUCCUCUUCGUAAUUAAAUCUCCAAUUUUUUGUAAGAUUUGAGUCACCUAAUCCUUGGUCUGAUAAACCUGUUUAUGGCGGCACAGGUUUUUGGGACAUGUAUGAUCCUGAGGGUUACUCACUCUGGUUCUGCCAUGAUCAAGUUCAACGAAGAAAACACAGUUUCCUUUGUCACCAUGAACAAAGUGGGUGGAUUUUUGCAGCGUAUGGACUUAGUUCGCAAGUACGCUUUUGCAAAGAUGCUGAUCAUUGGAUCCUCACCUCCCUUCAAGGUGAAGGGUCUCUGGCUGUUCCGUGGUCUUGAGAUUCCGCAGUUUGUUCUUGAUGAAUGCUAUGACAUGGAUCUGUAUGAGUGGACCAAAGUAGACGUCGCUGAUGAAUCCCAGAAAAACCGUGUUAAUGCUAUGAUUGAGGAUCUGGAACCCUUUGAGGGUGAAGAUCUCUUGGACGCCAAGUGCUUCAAGUGAUUUCAUCUUUUUAUUUAUUUAUUUAUUGUUUACGAACAGUUUUAUUAUAAUCUUUUUGCUACAGAAGACGGAAAUGUUUAGUUAUUGUAAUUUAAAUAUUGAAUGAAUAUUUAUUUCUACUGUUGUAUGCAUUAAAUCAUGAAUCAAUUUUGUUAACCUAAAUAAUGUAUUUCUUUUUCACCAAUGGAUUUUGAAUACUGGUAAUUACCAUAUUGAUUUUGCCUCUAGAUUCCUGGACUUCAUAAGAUUUUUAAGAUGAUUUUCAUCGCAUCCACUUACUCUUUUUAACAAAACAGAGAUUUCGAACAAAGAUAGGAAAAUUUCAAUAAAAUGACCACCACAUUCAACUGUAGCUAGAAAUGCUUCACCUUCAUAAAUCUGAAAUUCAGAUACACAGACCAUAAAACAAAACAGCAUUUCAAAUUAAACCAAGGAUGAAGUAGACAUUUUCGAAUUAACACUAAACCAAAGAUGUGCUAAAACAAGCAGCAAUAGCAGUAGCAGCAGCAAUUGCUUCAGCAUUUUCAAAUUUAUUUUAGCUUCUUCUUCUCAAGCCUCUGCCGUGCUCUUUGGAAUUCAUCUUCAGUAGGUUCACAUGAUGCUUCACCAACAGAAUUGCAAAUUAUUUUAUCAAACAUGGUCUCAAACUUCUCUUUCCGCUGAUUAUGACGCUGGGAAAUAACAGCAACCAAAUCAGUUUCGACCUUUUUCUUUGAUCUGCUCUUUUUACGUGCAAGAGGGUUGAGAGGUGGUUUGGAUUUAGCUACCACAUUUGCCCACUUUUUGUAUGCUUUGAAUCCCUUGAGUUCACCUUAAAAAUAAUUAGAACAUGAGAUUGCAAGUACGUGGAGAGAUUAUAUUCAGAAUUGUUUUGUAUAAUGAUUCAAACCUUCAGCUAUUGCAUUGUUAAUGAUGUCCAUGAAGCGAUGUGAAUCCAACUUUGGGUCAGAGCAAAUCAUUGUGCAAAAGAGCCUAGACAGCAAAAGAAUUUAGGUAAAGAAAUGAAAAACCUUAAAGUGAACAUUAAUGUUUUUUUACCUAUCCAUGUUGCCCUUGAAUUCUAUGUACAAAUCUUUUAAAUCUUUUUCCUCAGAAUCUGAUCCUCUAUAGUUUGCUUCAAAAUCUUCAAUAUCAGCCGUUGUAACCUGCAUCAGAUCCGAAAAUAAUAUCCACCUUAUUUUAUAAAAAUAAAAUGAAAAAGAAUGUGUAGAUGAGGUGUUUAUGAAGAAAAAAAUGAGUAGAUACCGUUUUGUAAAUUGAUCUGAAAAACUCUUUUAGGUUAUUAAAAGAUUCACCAGAAAGAUCCUGAUCAUAACUUAGAGGAUAUAAGAGUAAAGUAUAUCAUCGUUAAAGCACAAGACAUAUGAAAAGAUGAUAGAAUAUGUACGGAAUCAUCCACACAUCCAGUUUGAUCAUAAAGAGCCCUUUUUUCCUCAUCGCCAAGUAUGGCUAUCACUUUCUGCAGGCGCUGAAAAUUUUCUUUGGCUUCCUAAAACAUGCAUAAUUCAAGGAUAUGAAAUAUUGCUACCGUCAGAAGUGAAACAAAUCAGAAUAUUAAAUUGCACCUCGUCACCAGGAUUUUUAUCUGGAUGAAGACGCAAAGCUAACUUGUGAUAUGCUUUCUUUAUUUCUUGUCGAGUUGCUGUAUUCUCUACUCCAAGAAUCUGCAUAGAGCAAAAACUGCUUGUUUGAAAAAUCACAUAAAAGAUAAUGUUGUGCUUACUGAAGUUCUAAAUCACCAAAAGAGAUGGAUAAAAAGGUUUACGAAAAACAUGGCAGAAAAAUAAACACUAUAGGACCGACUAUAAGGUGUCCUAGUAGAGGGUCGGUUUUUUGAGAGAAAGAAGAGAGAGUAUAGUUUGUUUUGGUCAUCCCGUCAUCACUAGAUAAUGAGAAUAUAUUGGAAUCUAGGAUCCCAGAUCCUAUAUACAAAACUAUAAUAAAUAGUUUGAUUCCCAAGUUUUAGGUCUCAACAGCCUUAUAAUAAUGUUCUCAUUAGUUCAAAGGUUUCGAUUUUGCAAAUAUAACGAUAUGUCAGAUUUCCAAGAAAUAAAAUCUAGAGAUCAAAACCCCAAAAAUGGCACUGUAGCAACUAUCAAUUUAGAAAUACAAAAAAGCAAGCACUGUAGAAACAACAAUCCAUCGAGAAAGCACACACACAAAAAUUUCAAUUAAAAAACAGAUAACUGAAUCCAAUCAAACACUACACCAAAUUCAAGUUAAAGCAAGAAUAAUCAAAUCAAAACAUAACAAAAAAUAUAUACAAACAGAUAUAAUUCAAAUAAUCGAUGUAGAACACAACCAUAAAGAAUCAAAUUUAAAAAAAUCCAGAAACACAACAAGAAAAAAGGUAAUCGAUGUAGGAUGCGACCAUAAAGAAUCAGUCAUGGAUACACUUACCUCAUACAAACUCUUCUCUCCGUUCUGCGAACCAAUAUCGGUCUCUGUUUUGAUUCCAUCCUCCUCGAAAACCCUAGUUCUCUUCUUUCUCCCCAUUCUAAGCUACUUUCGACAAAUUACGAACCUCAGGCAGGUAUUUAUACCAAAACAAUGACAUGGAGAGGGAAAAUUUUCCCGCCACCCCUAAUUUCGAGCAUCUGGAAUGUUCCUUCUUAGUCGUCAGAUUGAGUGAUUGACAAAACGGACGGUUAUGACAAAAGAUCAAAAAUGCAAAAAUAUGACAAUUUGGUCCAGGGCCCAAGAAAGAUCCGAAAGAAAUCCACAUAAUUUCAUCUACAUAUUCAUGUCAAAAGUGUAAAGAAUGAAACUUUAUAUUUAAACAAUAGAGUUUAAAUUGAAAAUAUACCAAUUAAAUUGUAUAAAUAAGUAUAAGGUUUAUUUCAUAUCUUAAUAAGAAAAGUUCUUUCCUCUUCUUUUUAAAAUAAUUGUCAUCAAUUAUUUUAACUUAAUUUCUUCUUCUUCUUCAAGCAUAGACUCCUUCUUGAUUCUUGAUGCUCUUCUGUCUACUGUCUCCUCUUCUUCUCUGUCGACAUUCUCCGUUGUAAUUCUUUACAAAAAGUACAUGACCUUCAUUUCUACCAUCCAAUUUUAAACUGAACCAAAGACAUUUUCACAAUCAUUUAUUGAUUCUCAAGUCAUGGAAUCUAAUGGCACUUGAGAAAUGAUAUUCUCAUGAUAAAGGAUUAGAUUUUAAUGACACAUUUGAUCUGGUCACUAAAUUAACUACUGUUAUCACUAUUUUUACAACCAAACUUAUAUUAGAUGUUCAUAACGUAUUUUUACAUAAAGAUAUGAGACAUUUGUAUGAAAUUACUGUUAAUAUACAAAUACACUUAUUAUUAAGUUCACAUUAAUGACUAUUAAUUGUGUGUAUUAAUUAGGAUAAUACUUGAUAUAAAUACUGUAUUUACAUUUGACUGAAAUGACUUUUGAUAAUUGGUUUAUUUUUCACAAAAUACAAGAGUUGUUCUUUAAGAUCUGCUGCUCUCAUCAAGGAUUGAGUGAUCUCACAUGGUAUCAGUUGGGCUCUCAUUGUAGGUAAGGAUCUUGCUUCCGUUUACAAAUCGCGUUUUCUCGAUCCUUUUAAAUUGUUUUUUUUUCGGUUUUCCGAUUUGGACGAUUUUUGGAUUUGAGCGAUUUUAUUUGUUGUUUGUCGAUUCCGAUUUGAUUUCUGUCGAAUACUUGAUUCAUCACGACAAGUUCGUUCUGACUCAAUCAUCGCGACGAGCUCCUCAAAUGUCGAAUAUUUUUACAACCAAACUUAUAUUAGAUGUUCAAUUUUUACAUGAAGACAUGAGACAUCUGUAUGAAAUUACCACCAAACUAUCCUACAAUACAACAUAAUAAGGUUUGUGAACUAGGAAGUAGGAACCCAUCUCUGGAAAAAAAAAUCUAAAGAAAAACAUUGCAGAUUUUAAUGAAAUCUGACGAGCUUAGCAUUAAGAACAGUAACAAGUUGGUCUUUUGUAUACAAUAUUCUGUCAGUGGUGUCCGACAUAAGAAUUGUAACAUGUUGAAUCGUGAUGUUUUCAAUUACUGACAAGCUAGCAAACCCAAUCUCAAAGUCAAGUUCUUUCAACACCGUCAUCAACCUCGCCGCCGGAUGAUUCAUCUUAUCACUCUGCAUUCUGAUCAGCAUUACAUCCUUGCCAACUUUUGUCACCUCGAUAUUUAACAGCUUGUGCUCCAUAACCCCCAUUUUCUCAAUCUUAUCAAUCCUCUCCGGCGAUUUUAUUUGUGAUCGGAGUAUCUCCCCCUCAAAUUCCAACGCUGUUAUAUUUGUCUUCAGUUCGUUGAUGACGGCCACGGCGUCUUCUAGCACUAAAGUCUUAAUAGUACUCCGCUUUAUAAUCUGUGACGAAGAUUUGUUAGUUUGAACAACAUGUCGGAGAGCGAUAAACAGCUUACUGAGCUUCUCUCUGCGUCGACGCUCUACAUCGGUGUGCGUUAUUGGAGUAAUCUUAAGAGAUGCGAGCAAGAACGGAGAAGACAUUAUCAAAGGAAUGAGAUCGACGGAGAUAUGGAAAUUCAAUGUAAAGAUGUAUAAAAUAAGGAGAAUUAACAUGUCGCCGACGUGGGUCAACCCCAUCCAUUUGUAACUUGUUCAUUUGUCAGUGUAGUGUCAGGAAGAUUGAAAAAGCUAGGAGAUAAGACGAUCAAUUAAUACAGGCACAUGGAUUUUUUGAUAGAUACGAUCUGUUUAUUUAUGGACUACGUCAUAUGAGACAAGAAAUUAGUUAAUAUAUCAGAUUCAGAUUUAGAUUCAGUCAACCUUUUUUAUUUAAAUUAAAAUAAUAUAUCAUGGACCAUGGCAUGGGGUGUAUAAAAUGGUCCGUGUCUGUUCGGAAAUGGUCGAACCCAAAUUCAGAUACCAUCUAAAUUUUGACUUUUGAGUACUAUUAUGGAUCCUGGUUCGGGGUUGGAAAUGAUUAAUCCAAAUCUUUGGCCCAACAGAAUGUUUUUUACAUCUAAAAAUUCAAUAAAUUAAUUAAUAAAAUAUGAUGGUAAAAUCGAUAGAUAAUAUGGAUUACAGAAUAAAAACAUAUAAUUUUACUAGUGAAUCCGAGGCCACCACCACUCCACCAGAGCUGGUUUUGUUCAAGUCUUCUACCGUUCCACAUGUCGUCUGUUCCCCCAAUUUCGGCGCGUCGACCCAUCGGAGAUGAGAAAUUAUAUUCAGCUCCUCGUUGCAUUAUCUCGGUUUUAUUCUGCCUGCAAUUCAAGAUCUCACGUCAUAUAAAUAAAUCAAUUUAAAGCAUAGUUAACGGAAUUUCUGUGAAAAAUAUUUAUAAUCGUAAUUUUCGUAAACUUUGAUAAUUUCCAUGAAAAUUAAUUAAUAUCAAAUUAAACGAAAUUUUUGUCACGGGUUUUAAACUACUUGUAAGAAGAUAUCCAUUGCAAAAAAAAAUUAUUUUCCCACCUAAAAAAUAGUUUUCUCAAAUAUUAUUUUUUAUUGUCUUUUUCUAUUUCCACAAAUAAUGGAGAUUUCGUAAGAGUGAGAUAAAAGAGUGUGGAAACUUUGGAGAAAACACGAUCAAUAUUAUCAGAGGCCUUAAUAGGUUUAUUUAUCUAGAGAUCAAAACCGAGUGAAUACAAUUAUACAAUGUGUUAGCGAGAGAGAUAGAUCAGAGUCUAGGGUUUCGUCGAGACGAAGAAGAGGGAGAGUCGCGAGAAAUUGAGAACUAAGAGUUAAAAGAAAAACUAAAAAUGAAAAUACAUUUAUAUAUCUAGGAUUAGGAGGGUGGCGGAAUUGGCCACUUGUGCGCCCAUUUAAUUCAUAGGUAUGAGACCCGUUAACAAAUAAUACUAUUUCAUUUUCCCUCAUUUUCCCAAAAUCAAUUUCCUUUCAUUUUUUAUUUCCCCAAAUAAUGCUCUCAUUUCCCCAAUAUCUCAACCUUCCUUAUAUCUCCACACGAACGGAUUCUCAACACGAUUCUCCACUUCGAUAUUUUCUGUAUUACAAAGGUGAACGCGCCGGAUUUGUCGUUCAGUCUCCACACGCCACUUCGAUCUCCACACGCCAGAUCUCCACCUUCAUUGUCGUUCAGUCUCAGCGGUGGGUAAAUUUUUUUUUAAAGCAAAGUUGGGUAAACUUUGUUUCUUGCAGGUCAGUAUACGAGUGCUUCUUCAAGAAAUUUAUUUAUCUUCUCCUGAAUCAGAUUGCAGUGAACGGAUUACAAAGGUGUUGCUAAGGUUACAAAGGAAUAUUCUUCUUAUAUUUUUCAUUUGUUUGUUACAUUCUUUUGUUUCUGUUUCAGCGGAUUUAUUUAUUUAUUUCGUUUAUGUUUUUGUUUCAUUGUCGUUUAUUUUUAUUUGUCUGUUUCUGUAUCAGGUUACAAAAAUUUUGUUUUUUGUUUUUAAUUUUCUGUUUUAUAUUGUUGAUUGUGUUUGUUUUCUAGCUCUAAGAAAUCUGGAAAAGCAUUGGUCUAGGAUUUGGUUAGGGUUUUAUUUAUUUAUUGUCAUGAUUGAUUUUUUUAUGUUUUUCAUGAUCGAUAUGGAGCCAUUUUGGGUCUAUUUUGAAAUGAAGAUAUUCUAUUUAGUUUAAGCUUAGUUCAUGGUUAGUUCCAGAUUUCCAGACUUUCAGAUUUGUUGAUGGUAUUUAUGAUUGGGUUUUUAUUUUAUUGUUAUGAUAAUAUGAUUGGAUUCAUUUUUCAACUGGUUGUCAUGAUCGAUAUAUAUAGAGUCAUUUGGGUUCAUUUUGAAAUGAAGAUUCUUCGAUCAACCUUGUUUUUAUGGUUUGAUGUUAAUAAAUAUUCCAAAUAAAUGUAUAUUUUGAACUCUCUGUUCUAUUAUGCUAGAUUUCUUUAAUUUUUUGGGUUUAGUGAUUGUCAAACACAAAUUUUGUAUCUAAGCAAGAGAUGAUCAUUGAAUAAUUGUAAAAUCUGAAAUAGUAGCUUAUAUGACUCUUCUGUCUUAAAUCUGAAUCACAAAUCUAGUCAUGACUACUUGGUGUAUUUUGGUUUGUUUUAUAUUAUUUUGUAGUACUGAUAUUUUAGCAAUGUUUUGACUUGUUUUUAUUUUUACACUUUUUCCUCAGUUUUGAUUUUCUUUUGCUUGCUAAUGUUUGCAUUUUUCUUGUAUAUAUAAAAUUUAAAUGUUUUGCUGAUUUUUUCCUUUAGAAUUUUAAAUGUUGGUUGAUUAUUUUUUUCUUUUUCAGAUUGAUUAAAAGAAGAAUAUAAAAGGCAAAGAAGGUAUGUUGUCAUUUAUUUAAUUUUAAGAUUUUAUAUUUUAUUUAGUAAGUAAUGUUUUAUUCAAUUAUUUAGAAAUAAAAUAUUUUAUGAUAGUAAUUUUAUAUUAAUGCAUGCUUCCUUACAUUGCUAUAAUUAGUUAGAGUUAGUUAUUUUUUGUAUGAGUUUUUUGAAUACUCAUUUUAAUACCUUUUUCAUUUAAAUAUUGAUUUUUAAAAAGUUUCUUUUUUGUAUGUUAGGAGAUAGACUAAAAUGGCUAAAAUUGAAAAAAUAUUUACAGCAAUAUAUGCAAUAGAAUACAUUCUGAAAAUUUUUUUUGGCCAAAAAAAUUUUGUAACGGAAAUUCCGUUACAAAUGAUCAGUCUUUAUUUUUUGUAUUUGUAAGGGAAUUUUUAACGGAAAUUCUUAAAAAAAGUUAACGGAUUUGAGUAUUUAUAACAGAAUUUUGGUGAUGACCAGUUAACGAAUUUUCUGUUACAAAUGACAUAUUAACUUUGGUCGUCCAAACUGCCUUUUUUUUGUAGUAACAAUGUUUUCCUCCGUAUGUACCUCCCCUUUAUCCAUAAACCUAUACUAAUUUGUCAUCUGCUGUCCAGAUUAUAAUUGACGGAUUGCAGCUGCCAGGUUUAAUCAUUUAGGAUCCCUCAGACACAACCCCCUUCAUCCACUGGCCUCGUCAUCAAUUUCCAACCUGCACCCUUUCUUUCGUUCCAUAUAAAUCCGAUAGGUAAUGCUUCUGAUUUAGGACCCAAUUUGCAAGUUGAAUGCGUCGACCACCGUAGGACAAACAUCUUAUCAUCGUGAGAGCAAUCUCUUCAGCUUUUCUAAAAGUGGGUUGCAAUCAGCCAAAGAUCUGUCUGUUUUACUUUCACGUCUGUUUUUACCGCUAGCUUUGUUCGACCAUGUAAAUGACCGCCCACAGCUUGCAGUUCCGACAGCCUUGCGUUCAUAAUCAACUGUUGGAAAUCAACCCGCCCAAUCGCCCAUCAUCAUCUUGAAUGAGUUGCCCAAGCCUAUCUCCAUCGUCUAUAGUCUGGUUGAAAUCACCCAUCAUUAGUCAAUUGGUUUGUCCGAUAAUCCUAAAUAGUUGCCUCAAAUCCUCCCAUACUUCACAGUGUUCCGAUCUCGUGUUUCUACCGUAGACAAUGGUAAUGACACUUUAACCGUACCCCCCUUAUUGGUACACUAAGACUAGGGGAGCAAAUCCAAUAUUUUCCACUUCUUCGGAGGGGCGUAUCCAGGGGCAAGGGAGGGCAAUUGCCCCGCUAAAAGUUGGAAAAUCGAGGACCUAUAUGUAAUAAUUUUUUUAUAAGGGGUUAAAUGUAAUUUUUUACAAUAUAUUAAUAUUUUUUAAGGGUUAAAUGGUUAAUAUAUAAAUUUCACAAUAUUUUAUAUACUCUCUCUCUCCCUCUUCUCCCCUAAAUCUCUAAUCUUCUCCGGCCUCCGGGAAUCUCUUCUUAGAUUCUUCACUGUUGUUGCUGCCUUGCUGGAAAUCUCUUCUCCAGUUAUCCCUCCGUUGCUACUUGCUGGAUUCUCUCAUUUCUCUGGUAUUUAUUUGUUGAAUUGUUGAUCUUGUCUGUUGUUUCUACAUAUUAUUUGGGUCUGAUGGAUAUGAUACGAUGGUGGUGUGGUCUGAUGGAUUUUAUUGAUGUUUGAUUUAGUUAGUUGAUUAGUCCUCAUAUGAAGUUAGGUUCUCCGGUCUGCAUAUGAAGUUAGAACUCACAUGUUAAUGUUCUGUUUUUGAAAAAGAAAAGCACAUUAAGAGAUUUUCUUUUCAUCUUCUCACAUAUAUUCAAGUUUGGGAAUGUUGAAAAUUGACGGCGGUAUUGUUCCUGAUAGAUUGUUGAAACUCAAAUCCCUAAAAAAAUUCCAAGAAUGUGAAUUUAAUGAUUUUAUAUUGAUGAAAUGUGUUUAAACAAAUGAAGAGUAUAAAAAAAAUAAAACUUACCGAUAUGCCAAAUUUUCAAAUUCUCCAAUGCUGGAUUCUGGAUGGAAUCGUACCAGCUAUUCUAGUGUUUCUUAAAAUCCUAUUAUCAUUCAAACACAUCUAAAAUAUAAGUAUUAUGUAAAUCAAAAAAAUGUAGAUAGAUAAAUCAUAUAUAGAUGAAUCUUUUUUAAUGGUUUAGGGUUAAUGUAUUGAAUAUUCCUAAAUCAAUUUGAAUAUUAAUUAAUUUAUUGAAUAUUAAUUAUGGAAUGAAUGUAUUAAAUUUUUAUAGGUUUUUAUAAUCGAUUUUAUGAAUAGGUUGUACUAAAUUUUUUAUAAGUUUUUAAAUUAGUACAAUUUUUUUCCCCGCCUUCUGCGAAUCUUGCCCCCUCCUCUGUCAGAGAAUCCUGGAUACGUCGCUGUUCUUCCGUUUCUGUGGUUUCUUAUAAAAAAAGUUGGGAACUCUUUGGAAUCUGGGACGGAUGUAUAUUGUGUAUAGGUCCCGUCCCCGGCAAAUCGGCAAUGGUCGGGAUGAAUUUCCAGAAAACAUCCUACAGAGUUAAUAUUAAAAAAAACUUAUUUGUAACAUAAGGAAUUAUCUGGGUCAAAAAAAUAUUAAUUUAUUUUUAAGUUAGUAGGGUUGAUUAUAAAAAUAUACCCAUAAUAAAUUUAUAAAAAAUACCUUAAGUUUCUAAAUUAUUAACUUAAAUAUCUACCUCAAAUCCCCAAAUAACAAAAUCUCUUCAUUCUUCCCCAAAUAACAAAAUUAUGACUUUGUUCUAGGGUUUUUUCAGAACAGUCUACAGCCUCCAGGUACGUCAAUUUCAGCCAGACAAGUCUUCAGGGUCGAUUUCAGUAAACACCACAAGUCUCUAGGUACGUCGAUUUAAGCCAGACCAGCCAGAUUAAUUACUCGAUUUCAACAAGGUGAAUAUUGAUUGUUAAAUGUUAAUCACUCAUUUUUAUUUUUUCGAUUUCAGCAACUUCACAUUUCUUUUUUCAGCAACUUUGAAUUCACAUUUCACAUUUUCAACCCUUCGAUUUCAGCAACUUCUUUUUCAACAUCUCUCCCUCCUCGACAGCUUAUUAUUUACCAACUUUAGAGAUUUUGAUCAACUUCCUAAAGUAGUAUUAAUUAUUAUUUAUUUGAAAUAUAUCUUUAAAUUGAAUUAGAUAUUCUGAUGAUUUAGAUAUUAAGAUGUUUCGAUGUUUUAAUUAAGAUUUGACUUUUUUAGUUUGACUUCGAUUGUUUAUUUAUUUUAAUUUUGACUAUUGAUUACGAUUUUCUUGAUAUUUCAAUUGAAUUGAAAAAAAAUAACAGCUUUAUUUUCCUCUUGACUGUCCUCUCGAAGAAAGCAGCGUUAACAGAAGAACCCACUUCUUUUGUAACUAAGAAUUGGUCUCCGUAGCAUUACUUUUCGAUGGAAAUAUUAACCGGAGCAAAUGCUCUUCCGACCUAUUUUGCGUCAAGGUCAGUGAAUUUUUCUUUUUUUCAGAUAAUCAAAUUGAGAUGUAAUAUUUUAUCAUAUAUAUUUCUACAUUUGUGAAAUUCACAUUUUUUUUUUCCAGAAUUACGGCGUUCAAGCUUAGAAAUCAAGUGAAUCUGUGUGGAUUCACAUUUAAAAUCCCUCAAAGAAGCUCCUCCCUUUUUGCAUCUCGUAUGUUUAGUAUAUCAUAUUGCUCGAAUGCCAAAUUAAAUGCGUUAAACAAUUCCAGAGAAAAUUCUCAAGACUCUGAUGUCUCAGGUUAUGAGAUUGAUAUCCAAAAAGGUAACCAAUCAAUUUUAACCACAAAAUCUUUCCAAUUUAGCACGUUCUUCUGGUUCAUUCGAAAAUACUUCUUGUUGAACAUUAUUAAGUUCCAACUGAUAAAUUUGAAUCAUUUUUCCACUCCAAUUUAUUUUGUUAGUUCAUUGGUAUUUUUGGAAACUCUAGUUUGAAAAUUAUUUUUCUUCUCCUCGUAUAGUUUCUUCUCUUGUUUGUCAGAUAAUGUUUGAAUUAUAUCUCUUCUUCUGGUUUCUAUUAUAGAGGAGAAUGUAGCAGUUUUAGUUAUUGGUGGUGGAGGGAGGGAGCACGCUCUCUGUUAUGCCUUGAAACGAUCUCCAUCAUGCAUGUCUGUCUUUUGCUCUCCUGGUAACCCAGGAAUCACACAUUCUGGGACUGCGACAUGCUUACCUGACCUUGACAUCUCCGAUAGCUCUGCAGUCAUUUCAUUUUGCCAAGAUUGGCAAAUUGGGUUAGUUGUGAUAGGUCCCGAGGAUCCUUUGGUUAAUGGUCUUGCCAAUGAUCUUGUCAAAGCUGGAAUUCCAACAUUUGGACCUUCAGCAGAAGCUGCAGCAUUAGAAGGCUCAAAGGAUUUUAUGAAAAAAUUAUGUGAUAAAUAUCACAUCCCCACAGCCAAGGUUCAUUUUUACCUCAGGCAAUAUAUUUUUCUUGGCAAACCGAUUUGAAAUUUAUUCUGUUUGUAUGUUGAACUUGCAGUAUAGAACAUUCACAGACCCCUCUGAUGCCAAAAAUUAUGUGAAGGAGCAAGGAGUCCCAAUUGUGAUCAAGGCAGAUGGUUUAGCUGCAGGAAAAGGAGUUACUGUUGCCAUGGCCUUGGAAGAAGCAUAUAGAGCCAUAGAUGCUAUGAUGGUAGAAGAAUCUUUUGGAAAAGCUGGUUCUCGAAUCAUUAUUGAAGAAUAUUUGGAAGGGGAAGAAGCUUCCUUCUUUGCUCUUGUUGAUGGCAAGAAUGCAUUGCCGCUUGAGUCAGCACAGGAUCAUAAACGAGUUGGUGAUGGUGAUAUUGGGCCAAAUACAGGUGGAAUGGGAGCUUAUUCUCCUGCGCCAAUAUUAACAAAAGAAGUUCAAUCUCUGGUUAUGGAAUCCAUAAUUCUUCCUACGGUGCAAGGAAUGGCUAAUGAAGGGUGUGAAUUUGUUGGUGUGUUAUACGCAGGGUUGAUGAUCGAAAAAAAAUCUGGAUUACCCAAGCUUAUUGAAUAUAACGUUCGGUUUGGAGACCCAGAAUGUCAGGUAAAAAUGUAUGUUUUUUUUUAUAAAUAUUUUUACCUUGUAUGUGAUGUUCGGUUGUUACAGGUUUUGAUGCUCAGGCUAAAGUCUGACCUGGUAAGAGUUCUCCUUGCAGCAUGUAGAGGACAACUCGGAACGGUGUUAUUAGAUUGGUCUCCUGGAUCAGCCAUGGUUGUUGUAAUGGCAAGCAAUGGUUAUCCAGGAGCUUACGCCAAGGGAAGUGUGAUAAAAAACCUUGACAAAGCUGAGGCUGUAGUUCCAGAAGUCAAGAUAUUUCAUGCUGGAACUUCACUUGAUUCCGAGGGAAACUUUAUUUCAGUUGGAGGGCGGGUACUUGGUGUCACGGCAAAUGGAAAAGAUUUAGCAGAUGCUCGUGACAGAGCUUACCGAGCUGUUGAAGAGAUUGAAUGGCCCGACGGUUUCUACCGAAGAGAUAUCGGUUGGAGAGCACUUCCCCAUACAAAUUUUGUUGUCGAAACCUAAAAUGCUUGUUUAGACAUGCUUUAAGUUGUUGUUAUUUUGAAAGAACAUGUAUAAUUUAAAAACAAUGGUUAAUAAUUUUGGAAUAUUUUAAUUUUUAUGCGUACUACUCUUAACUCUUCUUAACUCUUCUUAACUCUUAAGAUCUUAAAUUAUAAAUUCAUUUUUUUAUUCAUCAAACAUACAAUUUACGAACAUACAAAAGGAAGGGAGAGGGGACUGGGCAGUACAACAUUUCAACCAAUUGAAAUUUACCUAGAUUGUUUUUUGCUUCUGAUUCUCAAAAGGCGUUUGAAUGCUCUGAAAAUCUUCCAUUUCCUCUUCACUAAAGUUUUCACUUGAUGCUUUUCCUGUUGCUGUUGCUGGUUUGUAAUUCUUCCUGUAGGGUCGUCGUCAUCACUACCAUCACCACCGUCCAGUGAUGUAUGGCCAACCUUCAAGUACCCACCAGCAGUAGAAAAUGAAGAUUUUCUUCUAAUCAACACCCUACUUACAAAUCGUUGCACCUUCACACCAUAUCUCGAUUUUGCUGCACAAGGGUAGUUGGGAUGGAUAUGACCCUCCUUCUCCCACAUCUUAGUGUACCCAUUCAUUCCCUUUCUCCUCGCAAGCUUUGUAUGUGUUCUGGUUUCUGAUUUGGAACCAUGGAAGAGCAACAAAUAAGAUGGUGUUAAAGAAAGUGUGAGAUUUAAAAUGCUAGGGAAGAGACAGCGGUGGGGAUGGGUUAUAGUGCUUUUGCUGCUACAAUCUUCAAAUAUUUUUGGUUGUUUCUGACAAAAUACACAACUGAGAUCCAAAUUCUACACCUGUUUGGCUGUUUCCAUAUUUCGAUAUUAACUCAAAAUUAAAAUGAUCAAAACUUUGGAUGAUCUUAUAUUAUUCAGACACAGAUUUAAUCCUUCAAAAAGAUUUACAAACUUCAACUACAGUAAUGGAUUAUUUAACACCUUUAAAUCUGUGAUGCAGCUCAUCAAUAAUUAAUAAUUAUCACGUGUUCUUCAUUCAAUUUAUUCAGAAAAGGGGAUAAAACAUGAGAGAGAAGAUUUAGAUAUGGACAUCUUUUUUCUAUUAAUGUAAUUAACACCUUAAAUGAAAUCCAGGUAACGUUAGUGAAUAACGUGGUUAAAAUUUUAAAAUCCACGAUUGUAAAUUUGGAUUUUUUUUUAAAAACAGUCGGAAAUAAUAAAAGAGAUUGGAAAAUUUGCCAAAAUGAAUUUAUUCUUAAUAAAAUUACAAUAUAUGUGUAUUUUUUAUUAAUUUUUCUAUUAAGGGGCACAAGGUAUAUUUUUCCUUUCUAUUUAUAUAGAGUUUUGUUCUUCUAGGUUUUGUUCUCUUCUUUAAAUCUUUAGCGAUCGGACAUCGGACGCGCGAGAUAAAGUUUCCAGAUCUGAGUGACUGAGACCAACAGAGUACUUCACCAAAGAACAUCUAUGGCAUUGGUAAUUCAGGGAUUUUAUUUUCAUCUUUUGUUUCUUUAAUUGUUUUUUUCUUUCGAAUAUAUGGAAUUUUAGGUUUUUGCGAUUCGUCUGUUUAAUGGAUCGAUUAUGUUUUUGUUUCUCCAAUCUGUCAUAUCGAUCGAUCUAUGCGGGUUUCAGUUUUUCGCAAUCGUUGGAAAUUAUUUGUUUUUUUCACUCUUCAAUGGAAUAUAUACCGUGAGGAUUAGAUGAUGAACAAAUAAUUUUAAUGUUUUGGUUUAUUUUAGUAUUUUUUUUUAUUAAUUUGAUUGUUUCACGUUUUUCUAUUAUUUGCGUGAUAAGGUAAGGCAUAGCUUUAUUUAAAUUGGGAAGCUAGAAUUAGCUUUGUCAAAUUCUUUUUGUCACUCUACAUAUUAAUUUAGUUGUGAGAGGCUUUAUCAAAUAUUUCUUCUUCUUCAUGAAUCAUGGUAGAGUGUGUCUUUUUUAUCUUUUUCUUUUCAAAAAGCAAAAAAAUUAUUUUUGCCAGGUACUCCAUACUUCUCCGGCAAACAAAAAUGCAUAUAAGGUGCUUGUUGCUGCUGAGUACAGUGGUGUCAAAGUUGAUUUGAUAGACAAUGUGCAAUUUGGAGUGACCAAUGUGACUGCUGAGUUUCUUAAGAUGAAUCCAAUUGGGAAGGUACAUUUUUUAUUUAUUUUUGCCAUAACAUUCCCAGGAUCUCAUUACAAAGUAGAUAUAUCAUUGAAAUUUAUUUUUACCGAAUAUACUAUUGUUAAUUUGUUAUGUAGGUUCCUGUACUACAGACUCCUGAUGGACCUAUUUUUGAAAGCAAUGCCAUUGCUCGCUAUGGUAAGUACCUCACAUAUAAAAUUAAUUUCUAAAUUUUCAUUAUGAACACCUAGAUAAGUUCCUCUGGUUUUCUACAGUUACGUUGCAAAAGUCUGACAAUCCUCUAAACGGUUCAUCCUUGAUCGAUCAAGUAAAUCAUUUAAUUCAAAUCCAUCUAAUUAUCCGACGCCUUAUAUGCGAAUUGUUUCUCUGUGAUGCAUUAUUAACAAUGUCAAACUACUUGUUCGCAGGCUAGAGUAGCUCAGUGGAUGGACUUCUCAAUGUCGGAGAUCGAUCGUUGUAUUGGACUUUGGCUUUAUCCCAGACUUGGAUUUUCUCCUUACCUUCCUCCAGUUAGUUGAUCUCUUGUUUUUUUUUCUUUCUAAAAUCUUAAAGUGAGGUUUUAUUUUAUUAAUUUAUUAUAUUCUAUUUAUAUUUUUACAGGCUGAGGAGUUCGCCAUCACUUCUCUGAAAAGAUCUUUGGAGGCACUGAAUAAGCACCUUUCGACAAAUACUUAUCUAGUUGGACAUUCUGUGACAUUGGCUGAUAUCGUGAUGGUUUGCAACCUUUAUUAUGGAUUUAAGACUGUCAUGACGAAGAGCUUUACAUCACAAUUUCCUCAUGUCGAGAGGUACUUAUGGACAUUGAUGAAUCAGCCGAAUUUCAAGAAGGUCAUCGGUGAAGUGAAGCAAGUCGAGUCAGUUCCACCUAUUCAGUCAAAGAAGUCAGCUCCUAACCCAAAAGCCAAAAAGUCACCUGAAAAAGAAACACCGAAAGCUAAAGAAGUGGCAGUGGUGGAAGAAGCACCAAAGCCUAAAGCCAAGAAUCCUCUGGACUUACUCCCCCCAAGUAAGAUGAUCUUGGAUGAUUGGAAGAGGUUGUAUUCAAAUACAAAAACCAAUUUCCAUGACAUUGCUAUCAAAGGUACCAUUUUCUCGAACCCAUCCUCUUCGUAAUUAAAUCUCCAAUUUUUUGUAAGAUUUGAGUCACCUAAUCCUUGGUCUGAUAAACCUGUUUAUGGCGGCACAGGUUUUUGGGACAUGUAUGAUCCUGAGGGUUACUCACUCUGGUUCUGCAACUACAAGUUCAACGAAGAAAACACAGUUUCCUUUGUCACCAUGAACAAAGUGGGUGGAUUUUUGCAGCGUAUGGACUUAGUUCGCAAGUACGCUUUUGCAAAGAUGCUGAUCAUUGGAUCCUCACCUCCCUUCAAGGUGAAGGGUCUCUGGCUGUUCCGUGGUCUUGAGAUUCCGCAGUUUGUUCUUGAUGAAUGCUAUGACAUGGAUCUGUAUGAGUGGACCAAAGUAGACGUCGCUGAUGAAUCCCAGAAAAACCGUGUUAAUGCUAUGAUUGAGGAUCUGGAACCCUUUGAGGGUGAAGAUCUCUUGGACGCCAAGUGCUUCAAGUGAUUUCAUCUUUUUAUUUAUUUAUUUAUUGUUUACGAACAGUUUUAUUAUAAUCUUUUUGCUACAGAAGACGGAAAUGUUUAGUUAUUGUAAUUUAAAUAUUGAAUGAAUAUUUAUUUCUACUGUUGUAUGCAUUAAAUCAUGAAUCAAUUUUGUUAACCUAAAUAAUGUAUUUCUUUUUCACCAAUGGAUUUUGAAUACUGGUAAUUACCAUAUUGAUUUUGCCUCUAGAUUCCUGGACUUCAUAAGAUUUUUAAGAUGAUUUUCAUCGCAUCCACUUACUCUUUUUAACAAAACAGAGAUUUCGAACAAAGAUAGGAAAAUUUCAAUAAAAUGACCACCACAUUCAACUGUAGCUAGAAAUGCUUCACCUUCAUAAAUCUGAAAUUCAGAUACACAGACCAUAAAACAAAACAGCAUUUCAAAUUAAACCAAGGAUGAAGUAGACAUUUUCGAAUUAACACUAAACCAAAGAUGUGCUAAAACAAGCAGCAAUAGCAGUAGCAGCAGCAAUUGCUUCAGCAUUUUCAAAUUUAUUUUAGCUUCUUCUUCUCAAGCCUCUGCCGUGCUCUUUGGAAUUCAUCUUCAGUAGGUUCACAUGAUGCUUCACCAACAGAAUUGCAAAUUAUUUUAUCAAACAUGGUCUCAAACUUCUCUUUCCGCUGACUAUGACGCUGGGAAAUAACAGCAACCAAAUCAGUUUCGACCUUUUUCUUUGAUCUGCUCUUUUUACGUGCAAGAGGGUUGAGAGGUGGUUUGGAUUUAGCUACCACAUUUGCCCACUUUUUGUAUGCUUUGAAUCCCUUGAGUUCACCUUAAAAAUAAUUAGAACAUGAGAUUGCAAGUACGUGGAGAGAUUAUAUUCAGAAUUGUUUUGUAUAAUGAUUCAAACCUUCAGCUAUUGCAUUGUUAAUGAUGUCCAUGAAGCGAUGUGAAUCCAACUUUGGGUCAGAGCAAAUCAUUGUGCAAAAGAGCCUAGACAGCAAAAGAAUUUAGGUAAAGAAAUGAAAAACCUUAAAGUGAACAUUAAUGUUUUUUUACCUAUCCAUGUUGCCCUUGAAUUCUAUGUACAAAUCUUUUAAAUCUUUUUCCUCAGAAUCUGAUCCUCUAUAGUUUGCUUCAAAAUCUUCAAUAUCAGCCGUUGUAACCUGCAUCAGAUCCGAAAAUAAUAUCCACCUUAUUUUAUAAAAAUAAAAUGAAAAAGAAUGUGUAGAUGAGGUGUUUAUGAAGAAAAAAAUGAGUAGAUACCGUUUUGUAAAUUGAUCUGAAAAACUCUUUUAGGUUAUUAAAAGAUUCACCAGAAAGAUCUUGAUAAUAAUUUAGAGGAUAUAAGAGUAAAGUAUAUCAUCGUUAAAGCACAAGACAUAUGAAAAGAUGAUCAUAAAGAGCCCUUUUUUCCUCAUCGCCAAGUAUGGCUAUCACUUUCUGCAGACGCUGAAAAUUUUCUUUGGCUUCCUAAAACAUGCAUAAUUCAAGGAUAUGAAAUAUUGCUACUGUCAGAAAUGAAGCAAAUCAGAACACUAAAUUGCACCUCGUCACCAGGAUUUUUAUCUGGAUGAAGACGCAAAGCUAACUUGUGAUAUGCUUUCUUUAUUUCUUGUCGAGUUGCUGUAUUCUCUACUCCAAGAAUCUGCAUAGAGCAAAAACUGCUUGUUUGAAAAAUCACGUAAAAGAUAAUGUUGUGCAUACUGAAGUUCUAAAUCACCAAAAGAGAUGGAUAAAAAAGUUUACGAAAAACAUGGCAGAAAAAUAAACACUAUAGGACCGAGUAUAAGGUGUCCUAGUAGAGGGUCGGUUUUUUGAGAGAAAGAAGAGAGAGUAUAGUUUGUUUUGGUCAUCCCGUCAUCACUAGAUAAUGAGAAUAUAUUGGAAUCUAGGAUCCCAGAUCCUAUAUACAAAACUAUAAUAAAUAGUUUGAUUCCCAAGUUUUAGGUCUCAACAGCCUUAUAAUAAUGUUCGCAUUAGUUCAAAGGUUUCGAUUUUGCAAAUAUAACGAUAUGUCAGAUUUCCAAGAAAUAAAAUCUAGAGAUCAAAACCCCAAAAAUGGCACUGUAGCAACUCUCAAUUUUGAAAUAAAAAAAAAUCAAGCACUGUCGAAACAACAAUCCAUCAAGAAAUCACACACUAAAAAAUUCAAUCAAAAAACAGACAACUGAAUCCAAUCGAACACUACACCAAAUUCAAGUUAAAGCAAGAAUAAUCAAAUCAAAACAUAACAAAAAAUAUAUACAAACAGAUAUAAUUCAAAUAAUCGAUGUAGAACACAACCAUAAAGAAUCAAAUUUAAAAAAUCCAGAAACACAACAAGAAAAAAGGUAAUCGAUGUAGGAUGCGACCAUAAAGAAUCAGUCAUGGAUACACUUACCUCAUACAAACUCUUCUCUCCGUUCUGCGAACCAAUAUCGAUCUCUGUUUUGAUUCCAUCCUCCUCGGAAACCCUAGUUCUCUUCUUUCUCCCCAUUCCAAGGUACUCUCGACAAAUUACGAACCUCAGGCAGGUAUUUAUACCAAAACAAUGACAAGGAGAGAAAUUAAAUUUUCCCGCGACCCCUAAUUUCGACUAUCUGGAGACUGGAGUGUUCCUUCUUAGUCGUUAGAUUGAGUUGUUGAGAGAACGGACUGUAAUUAUAAAAGGUCAAAAAUGCAAAAAUAUGACAAUUUGGUCCUGGGCCCAAGAAAGGUCCGAAAAAAGAGGGGCGAUAACGUAAAAGAUUACCAGACCAGAGAAGAGCGGAGGAAGGAGAUGGGGAGGCCGGAGGCAGCAGAAACAUCUCAUCUUCGUUUGGCUCGGUUCUCUACAGGUUAUCUACAUUGAGUUUAUUGUGAAUUUCUUUAUUUAUAUCCGGUGAGGAUUCAGGUCAGGGGAGAUGUGUUUUGAUUUUGGUAGUCGUCAGUUUUGCUGGAUUCAACCGUAUCUGUUUUUUGUUUCUGAUAAUUUUUCGUAUUGCUGUUAGAAAUCCGGUAGGAGUGAAUUUUUCCUUCCUUUACUGUUUUUUCUUUAAUGUUUCGUGGCUGAGACUUGUUUCAUUCUCCAUCGAUGAAUGUAUAGGAUUCCUAAAUUGAAUUAGGGGAGAAUUUCAUGUGAUCAUGAACAACCUGUCAUAUAAUAUUGGAGUUAGCAAACCUUUCACUGCUUAUCCCAAAGGAGACUUUGACAUAGAAUCUGGAACCUUCAAGAAGGGUAGGCGAAGAAAGAUCUCACUCUCAGCAAUGGUCAGAAAUUUUAGGGAUCAUGCACAUCAUUUCAUUAAGCUGCGUCCCAUUGCCGCCGUCUUCAGCAUUUUACUAUUCUUGGCUGCAAUUUUGAUUAUAGGUAUUUCGGUUGUCAAUAAUCGAUCCAUGGUAGUGGGAUCUUUAACUAGUUAUAAUCUAGAUAGAAAAACACCUGGUUCGUAUCCUUUCCAAAACCUUCGCAAUCUUGUAAUGGUCGCUGGGCAUUCGAUCUAUACGAGUAACAGUUGUGGCAAAGUUGACCAAGAAGACUCAUGGUUCCUUGAACCAUACCAGAAACACCCAGGUCAAGCUGCCACCUUCGUGGCACAUAUCCAAGAAGGAGUGACGUUUACAGAUAGAGAUGAUGAUGCUCUUCUUUUAUUUAGUGGUGGUGAGACUCGAAAGGAUGCAGGGCCAAAGAGUGAGGCACAGAGCUACUGGGGCGUUGCCGAAUCCAAAGGGUGGUUUGGUAAGUCAUUCCCAAAUUAUCUACAUUUGAGGUUUAAUUUGUAACAGUGUCUGUAUAUGUCUUUGGUAUGCGCAGGAAAAGAAGAAAGUGUUAGGCAUAGAGCACUCACUGAAGAGCAUGCAAGAGACAGCUUUGAAAAUCUUCUGUUCAGUGUCUGUCGAUUUCGUGAACUCACAGGAGUUUAUCCUCAAAACAUCACAGUAAUUAUUCUUGAAUUGUACAACUUUGAGUGUAUAAUUAAUUAUCCAAAUAACGUUUCUGAUUUUCUGAGUGUUUUUUAUCAUCAACAAAUGGGUCGCAGGUAGUGAGUUAUGAUUUCAAGGAGGAGAGAUUUGCACAUCUGCAUAGAGCAGCAAUAGGAUUUCCUGAAACAAAUUUCUUAUACAUUGGAACGCCAGUUUCAUUUCCGUCAAGAGAAGCUAUUGACGGUGAGGCAUCUGUAAGGGCUCUGUUCGAACAAGAUCCAUUUGGGUGCACUAGCUCACUUCAUUGGAAGAAGAUUGGACGAGAUCCUUUUCAUCGAACCAUACCUUAUCCAAAUGGUUGCCCUGAACUGAAAGAGUUGUUUAGCUACUGUGGCACUGUUCCUUACCAAGGCAACCUUCCUUGGAACCAUUAGAUUUGAAAUUUUAGAUACAGUUAAUAGAACCAGCAAUUGUGUGAUCCUUUUCAAUUAGUAUUGCUGAAAACAUUUCAUAACAUAAAAUCAUAAAUUAAAAAAAAAAAAAAUCAUUUCUCUUUUAAUCUAAUAGUUUGAUUUUGCUUUUAAAAAAAAGGUUUGAUUUUGAUCAUGGACGUAGAUUUUCUUUUACAACGUGAAUAUAACUGAGUGGAUAGAAUUAUAUUCAAAAAAUUAGUAAAUUGGUUUGAUUGAAUAGUUAUCAGUUUUCAACCAGUUGUCUAGUGGGAGUUUGUUUAUGUACUUGACCAGUUGCCCUGAUUUCUCUACGUCUAUUAAGGGACUUUGAUGUCUUUGAAAAUAAUAGAGAAUUUAAAGGCCUAAGGAGAGAUUUGGGCUGGAGCCCAUUACAGGUCCGCAAAAAAGAGAGGAGAUAACGGUAAAGACUACCAGAACGAAGAGGGGAGAAAAGCGGGAAGGAGAGAUGGAGAUGCAACGGCAACGACAACAAAAAACUGUCAUCUUCGUGUCGGUGGCCUCCCUGCAGAUUAUUUCCUGUGAGCUUGUAGUAAAUUUAUUUUAUUAUUUUCGGGUAAGUUUCAGAUCCGUGCGGGGUUUUGAGUUCGGGAUUUGUUAGUUUUGUUGGAUUCAACUGGAUCUCUUUGGUGUUCGUGAUAGUUUUUUUGUGCUGUGCACUUCUAGUAUGGUUAAAACUCAAAAUUCGUCAUUAUUUUCCAGUGAUAAUAUUUCUGCGGAGUAAUUUUUUUAUACCUUUCCUGGAUAAAUAUUUCAGCUCUGAGUGAUUUUUUACUUUCUGUUUGUUUAACUUCUCCCUGGGCAUGAGCUGCCAAGAGGGUUUAGGAUUGAUGAAAAUACGAAAUCGAUAGUUAUGCCACUGAGUUGUGGAUUUUAUAUAUUAUUUUGUUCUUUUAUUUUUUUAUUGCACUUGACCGAUUGCUUCUGACUUCUGAGAAAAUUUCAUCCAAUUUUUUUUUACAUAUAUAAGCUCAUGAGAGAAUUUAAAUCAACAGAUCAGUCGAUUUCAAAUCAUUAUUUUAAUAGCGGAAGCCUAAGUAGAUGAACAAUCCUAGAAUUAUGAGUAAACACACAUUAAAUUCAAGUGAUGCUUAAGCUUUUAAAACUCUUCUUUAAAUGAAAUUGAAAUGAUUACAAACUGUUUUUAUUUAAACAUAAAUCGAUCAAGUGUUUAAUAAGCACUGUGAAUAUUUAUGUAAUAAAUGCAAUCAAUUAUUUCUAGUAACUAAUGUAAAAAGUCUGAGAUUCUAACUAAAUGCACAUUUUCAAUUAUGUUUUUAGUUUGUUUUCUUGGAUUACCUUCAGCGAGUUUGAUAUCCUACUAUGUGUACAAGUCGUUGACUUUUUUGCUUCAUGCUUUCUCAACCAAAGGUCUCGCCGCCGACCCAAAAUCCACUAGUUCUUCCAAAAAAGCUUUUGCAGUGGUGUGCACAUUACUUGGAUUGAUCAUCUUUGUGUUAUUAAGCGUGUUCUUAUUCAAAUGGUGGCAGAAGAAAAAAAGGGAAGAUCAGCAGGCUCGUCUCCUAAGGCUAUUUGAAGAGGAUGAUGAUCUUGAAGUUGAACUUGGUCUUCGAGAUUGAUUACUUGAUGAUUUUCUUGUAACUUGUUUUAUCAGGUCAGUUGUCCAAAUGCUAUAAGAAAUCUUGUCAAAGUUUUAAGUUGAACCUGCAUGCGGCAUAUCAAUUCACAUCAUUAUGAAUUUGUUUUUUAAAAUAUUUUUGUCCUUCUAUUUAGGGAAUUAGAUUUUCCUUGUCUUGACAUUAUUAACUACUUUAAACCUGUGAAUGAUAAACCACUAAUACCAGUAUUCAAUUGAAUUUAUUCUCCAAAUCCAUGGAAGCUUGUUCAUUUGUAAAUUUGGGAAUAAUUGUUUCUUUUUGGAAAGUAUUUCAUUUAUUUUUGCUAUGGACAUAAAAAUUAAAAAGUUACUAUUUAUAUAUAAAAUGUGGGUGGUACUUCUUUCGAAAAAUCAUUAAACCUGAGUUCUAAAUGAUGUAAAAACAACAGUUAGUCUGCCAUAGACCAUAGUCCACCACAUCAUGAAAUUUCAAAAUACAUAUAUUUUGUUCUUGCCCUUAUUUAGAUUAAUUAUUAACCUAAUUGAUCGAUUGCCUUCUAAUCUAAUACUCUCCAUCAAAAUAUUGCAGGUUUGGACCUUGGUAGCUGUUUGUUGCUGUAUAAAUUAGAUAAUUCAGGAUUUUCUAAAAUGUAAAUCUGUAUGAUGUGAUAGAUCUCAGAUGAGGUCAGUGCUCUCUCUUCUACAUUUAUAUACACUUUUAGAGAAGAAGUAUAUGUGUUCAGAGUAACUGUAAAAACCAUCUUUCACAUUCAUCCAUAAUCUCAAUUCAAAGUUGUCAUUGCAAAUUACUAGUCAUAUUAUUCAGGAGUUUUUUACUGGAAUAAAUAUGUACUGAAGUUGAUUUUUCUUUUCUUCAGCCAAUAUAGGAAGAUAUAUUAAAUACAAACUGAAUGAUAAAUCUGUUCAGUGUUCACAUAUGUGAACGUAUCCACAAUAAAUAAUUGUAUAACAAGAUCAAAUAGUUUAGAGAUCGUAUGAGAACCCUUCUCAUGGUUAGAGUAUUUUGUACAGUUAGUGUUUUUGUGCAAAUUAUGCAAAAAAACAUGCAAAUCACUGUUCAAAACGUUGUCUUACGACGAGAAGGCUUCUCAUCUCUAAACUCAGUUGGUAAGAUCAGAUAUGAGUAAUUAAUUGGUACUCUCAUUGUUGUUUUCCAUACCCCCAUAAAUCCAUUUCUCCCCUGGAAUUUGGCAUCUGAUUCAUAUGAUGUACUUCAGUUGCUGCCGUUGUGUUUCCAAAUCUCCCAAGCAUUGUCCAGUCAUUUUCAUCACCUCCAUGUCCUCCUCCGCUGACAUCUAGCUCUCCUGGGAGGGCUGAAAAGUCAUAGUUUGGGCCACUUCCGGGUUGUCGGUGAUCAGGCAGGAGGUUUUGCACUUGAAUUUGGGGAGGAUAAUGGUGUGAUUGCAAGUGAGUGUACUGAAGCCCAAGGUCUGAAGGUGGCUUGUAGAUGCUAGAAUUGUAGUGUUGCAGUUGCUCUUGCUCCUGUUGUUCACUAUGGAUGUACUGCGUUGGCAUACGGAAUUGAUCUGUGGUUGCUACCAUCAAUGGAAGGCCCAUGUGUUCCUCAAUUCCUCCUCCUUGGCCCAUGCCACCGCUGCCCCCCUCAUCUGAUCCACUUGCUCCGGCAAUCUUGAAGAAAUUCUUCUUCAAGAAUACACGGCACACGACCCAUCCAUCCUCCUGUAAAUCACGAAGUAAAAAAAAAAAUCAGGUUUUUGAUCGAAAGCAAAAGCCGCCACUCUUAUGAGAAGCUAGCUAGUUAGCUUACAGUCCCGACAGGUUGGGUAUCUUCUGAAUCUUCGAGUCGGUACUCAUGCAUAAUCCAAUCAGACUUCUGGCCGUGAGGAGCUCUUCCUCUAUAAAACACAAGUGUCUUCCUCAUCCCAAUUUUCCUGAAACUAUCUCUUAUACACUUAUCUCUCCCUGUAGCCUUCCAGAAUCCGGCAUUUGUGGCCCUGUUCGUCCUCGACCCUGUAGGGUACUUCCUAUCCUUAUGGCUGAAGAAGUACCACUCAUUCUGUGGUGCAGAUCCUAUUCUACACCUCUCUGUAGGCAAAACAAAAAAUUAUAAACUUGACAUGUCUGGAUUCAAAUCCUGGAUCCCUGACUUUUAAAUCCACAAUUUUGAAUCAAAAAGUGUUUAGACAAAAGGAUGCAAUAUAUAUAUAUAGAUUGGUUGUUGUUGUGAAUAUACCUUGCAGAUCCCAUGGCUCGAGCCUGUUCAAGUCGACCUCGCGGAUGACUUCAAUCUCGAACUUCUCGAACAAGAUUUUCUUCUUGAGAUAGUAGUGAAGAAGCUCCUCAUCGGUAGGGUGGAAGCGAAAGCCCGGAGGCACACCAAAAGACGCAGAGGUUGAAGAAGAAGAAGCCAUCGAUCUAUGUAGGUAAUUAUAUAUCCUGACUGGCUGAUCGACUGACUAUUUCUCCAUCAGUUUCCUCCAAAUUAAACGAGAUGGGUGGUGGUCUUAGAGAAAUUAAAGUUCUUCAACGCAACCAUGGCAGUGGCAAUAUAUAUGCGCAAGUUAAGAAAUUAAAAUAGGUGGCCACUAGGUAGCUAGGCAAAGCUAGCUAGUCAUGAUAGUUUGAGUAGCAGUUCAUCAAAAGUUGCACCGCGAGCCGGCAAGGGCGGCGGAUGGAGCUGGUACUGGCUUGGGAUCGACGUUAGCGGUGGUGGUACAUGCAUGAUGCGUAUAUGAGAUCGAAUUAAUAGGUAGUAGUUUGAUUUUUCUGACUUUUAUUCCAUAAAUUAACGAUCCCGAUACCUCAAACAUCGAGCUUGGUGAAUGAAUAUGAUGAGUGGUGAGCAUGAGCUGUAGAAAACUGCAAUAAUAAAAUUAGACGUUUCAGCCUCCAGGAAUAUUCUGACUAAUUACAUCUUUUUUCUAUGAUCGUCCUUGAGGUCAACCCAACUUAAUUAGUCACGGGUCCAAUCUUAGUAAUUAAUUGCAGGUUGUUCUUCGUAAGUGACCGGAAAAGGUGUGUUCCCGUUGUCAUCACUUAGGGUUUAAGUUACUUAGACGCCGGACUGAGUUUAAUUAAUAAAUCAAGUCAAGUCAAUGAAGUAAUUAUAAUUAAUUAACUUAUUUUUUUGAUUAUCUGUUUAUUGUAUCGUCGUAUGUACGUGGUUAAAUAUUUCAAUGUACAUGUUUAUGAUCUCUAGCUAGAGACGGAGUAGAAAUUAGAAUCAAUUUUCUAAUUAACACGAUCGAUAAUAUGAUCAUAUAUGACUAUUAGAGCUGUGAUUAGACCAUUUGAUGAAAAUCACAUAAUUAAAUUAGUUUAAAAAUUACACCAUUGAUUAAGAUCUGAUCGAUGCAUGCGAAGCCUUAAAUGUUGAUUAUAUAUAGUUAUUAUUAAUGUUUGAUGUUAUUAUUAUCCAAGUUGGAGUCUCAUGCAAAUGCAAAGAGUGAAAUAUUGUGAGGUACGUAAUAAUAUAUAUAUAUAUAUAUAUAUAUAUAUAUAUAUAGUUAGUUAGUUAGAUUGCGCGAGAGAACCGUACUAAUUAUUAUCGAUUGGCGCAAGCUAGCAAGCAAGAUUGAUCGAAGAUAUAUAUAUCGAUGAGAGCGAGAAGUGAUUUGAACAAGGAUAUGAAAAAACCACAUGGUAAUAUAUAUGUUUGAUUGUCCGAGACGUGAAAACAAGUCUGUCUUGUUCUAACUUAAGAUAGAAAUUAAAAGUUAUCUCUCUCUCGAUCUCUACUUCUCGAUCUAUUAUUCUCAUUCCUUUCUUAAUUCCAGAGAGUUGACAUUGCCUGUUGGCUGUUGCGUGAGAAGCACAAGAGAUCGAUGUUGAACGUGAAGGUGAGGUCCCAUGGCUCAGAUUCCGAGGAAGAGGAGGAACGAGUUGUUAAAUCGGCCGGGAAGGUUCAUUGCACUCAAAGUUACGCGUACCAAAAAAGUUGACUCUAGCUAGGUACGUUAGCCGUCUUGCUAUUUUAAUUUACACAGUUGGACUUGGAUUUUUUAAAACCAGUCAUCAAUCAAUUUGCAAACUUAAUUACGGUAGAAUUUGUAUGUGCGUUUUUUUGUUUGUGAAAAUGUGAAUUUUUUAUAAUCUUUAUUUUACAAUUACACUCACUUGAAUCAUCUUAAUUAAUUCUUAAUCAUUCAUCUAUGCAGAAAAUAUAAAUUAUAUAUUUACGAUAUUAUUAAUUUGUCCGAUUUUAAUUUAUUUUUUAAUUUUAACGUAUUUUGACAUCGACACACCUUAUAAUUAAAGGAAUUAGUCAAAAGCUAGUUAGAUUAGACUAAUUGUAAACAUAAUACAUAAUCUAUAAUUCUGUAAAUUGGAUCUAAAACGAAUUAAAUAAAUGGUAUAAGUGUUUAAUUAGUUAUUGUACUAAGUUUACCAUGCAGAUAAUUUGCCCGUGACUCAUGAAACAGACAGCGAAGAAAUUGAAAGACCAAAGCGCAAUAAUUUCAAUAAAAACUUAAUGGGCCAAUUGCGAGUGGGCCGAUUUUAUGUUAUGAAAUUAGUUAAUUUCAAUUGUGUUAAAUAACAUUGUAAUUAACAAGUUAAUUAAUCAAAUGAAAAUUAAUUCUAAUCUCCCCCUAAACUCACACUCGCAAUAACUCUCAUCAUUCAACCGUUGCUACAGUGCUAGUAACUUAGUUCUUCUCCCUUUCGACAACCUUCUCUGAUAAGCGACUCUCCGGCAAUUCCGAUACAGUAAUACUCACAUUCGUCAGCGCAGCUGUCCAGUUCAUCGUUUAAUAAUAAUUAUUCUAUAUACAGCAAAAGUUAUUAGUAGAGAUCGAUGCAUAUAUGUGAUAUAUAGAUCUAAGUUUAGCUUGUUAUGUCAUUAUGAAUUCUACAGCAGUUGCUCUUGCUUGUAUUUUUAUGCCAAAUUAAAAAUGAGAUCGAUCGUGUCUCGCUUGCGACACGCUUAAAUAAAUGGAUUAGCCCGUCUAUGUACGUAGAUGGAUCCCAAUAAAUUAAACAAAGGUUUCUAGUUCACAUAUGGCCGCCUCGGGUUGCAAAAAUUAAAGGCACAAUUACGUACUAUUGAACUUACAAGGUUGAGUGUGUCCACCUAAUCGAUCUCCUUUAGGUCUGGCUUUGUGACAGUAGUAUGCAUAUAUUUGACUUAAUAAUUUGUUGAUGUCUUUUAAUAGGGUAGUAGGUAGGUAGGUAGGUAUUCAAAUGAUUGACGUACGAGUUGUUGUUGUUAUUUAAUUUCGAUCUCUGUAAAAAAACUUGUUGGUAUGUGGGUUCGUCGUCCAACCUAGUACAAGUGUUCUUUCAAGAAUUAUCAACUCCCUCCCCUGUUGGACCAGGGAAAAUAUUUAUAGUCUUCUCUUGCUGUUUUUGGGGCCCGUGAGCUCGCCUGUCGGGCUCAUUCAAUUUGUUCGUCCGGGCCGUCGACGAGGCUGGUUCGGUCCAUGGUAUCAACAAAACUGUACGUCGAUCGUGAUCUAUUUAUAAUUAGGGCCGGUUGAGAUAUAUGCGCAAAAUUAAAGUUUGUCGACAACUAUAUAUAACUCAUGAUUUCUGAUAGAUGUUGAAAUGUUUUUGUGUUCUAACUUAAUUAUAACAAAUCUUUUAUUACAAAUAACUACUUAUAAAUAAUAGAUGUUGAAUUAAUUUCUUGAAAUAAUAAUUAGAUGGUCUCACACGUACUCUACUCUCAGUCAAGUUAAUCGAUGAUCUGUGAUGAUCCAUAUUGUAUUCAUUUUUAAUUUAAUUUAUGCCCCGGCCGGUUUCAAUUUUUAUCUCAUCAUUCGUAGAUCCCCGGCCGGCCCCAUAAAUUAAAUAAAUGAAUCGUCAUCAAAUUAUUUAUAAGUCAAUGGUUUAUUUGUUUAAAUCUCACCAAUAAUUUUAGUAUCAAUCUCACCAAUAUUGAUUGAUAUAUUUUACAUAACUUAAUAAUAUCAAUCUCACCAAUAUUGAUUGAUAUAUUUUACAUAACUUAAUAUAUUUUAGUAUCAAUCUCAUCAAUAAUAUCUCACCAUUCUUAAUUAAUUUCUUAUCCUCGAUACCAAAAACUUAAUCUCAUCGAUCUCAUUAAAGACCCAGACCCGACCCAUUCCAAUAAAGAUCACUUAAAAAUCUCAUGAUCAAAGAGCCGGCCAUUCUUCUUUCAUCAUGAGAUGGAAUAAGUUGGAACAAGAACAGCCAGGAUUCGGGUAUAUUAAAACUUUUGUAUAUUAUAUUAAAACUCACCCGUUCCGAACACGGUGUCGUAUUAAUUUUGAUUUAAUGGAUCAUUGUUUAACCAUGUCUAAGGUCCAUGGACAGAUAAUUUAUUUUAUUGACCGAUUGUAGACCCACCCAUGCUGUUAAUUUAUAUAAUAUUUUUACACGUACGUAUAAUUGAAUUAAGUUUGACUUAUUUGCCACAUCGAUUACUUUGACUCACUCCAAAUUUAAAUUUCUAUAAAUCAAUUAAAUUUACAUCCAUCUACCAUUCAAUUCAAUCGUUUCAAUUCCUCCUAGCUCUCUCAUAUCGAAGUAACUAGCGAUUACUAAUUACAACAUGUCACCGGCGUCGACGAUCGAGGGGUUGAGGCAAGCUCAGAGGGCGAAAGGCCCAGCCAACGUUCUUGCCAUUGCCACAGCGGUUCCUGCUAAUUACAUCCUUCAAGAAGAUUAUCCCGAUUACUACUUCAGAGUCACCAAUAGCGAACAUCUCCCUCAUCUCAAGGACAAGUUGACGCGCAUGUGUUAGUGGAUCAAUGGUUUCGAUUAAAUUAGCUUUAAUUUAAUUACAUGAUUGAUUAAUUUACGUAUACAGGCGAAAAAUCUAUGGUGUCCAAAAGACACAUAUACUUAACAGAGGAGAUUCUGAACAAGAAUCCCAGUCUGUGUACGUAUAUGGAACCGUCACUUAACAUCAGACAGGACAUGGUUGUGAAGGAAGUGCCGAAGCUUGGCAAAGAAGCAGCGGCGAAGGCGAUAAAAGAGUGGGGGCAAUCAAAGUCAAAAAUCACUCACCUUAUAGUUUGCACCACUAGCGGUGUUGAUAUGCCCGGUGCAGAUUACCGACUAGCCAAGCUACUCGGUCUUCGUCCCUCCGUCAAGCGUUUUAUGAUGUACCAACAAGGUUGCUUUGGUGGCGGCAUGGUUCUCCGUCUUGCCAAGGAUAUCGCCGAGAACAACUGCGGUGCACGUGUGCUCGUUGUUUGCUCUGAGUUAACGGCGAUCACGUUUCGGGGACCGUCAGAUAAACAUUUGGAUAACCUCGUUGGGCAAGCUUUGUUUGGAGAUGGUGCCGCUGCUGUUAUUAUUGGUGCUGAUCCUGACCUCGACCUCUCACUUGAACGACCACUUUUCCAACUCAUCUCCGCUUCUCAGACAAUUCUUCCCGAUUCUGAAGGGGCAAUCGACGGACACCUCCUUGAAGAGGGUCUCACCUUCCACUUGUUGAAGGACGUUCCUAGAUUAAUCUCCAAGAACAUAGAGAAAUGCCUCGUUGAUGCAUUCUCUCCUCUGGGAAUAGAUGAUUGGAACUCUCUCUUUUGGAUCGCGCACCCUGGAGGACCUGCGAUUCUGGAUCAAAUUGAGAUCAAAUUAGGGUUGACGGAAGAUAAGAUGACUGCGACUCGACAGAUGUUGAAAGAGUAUGGCAACCUGUCUAGCGCAUCUGUUCUCUUCAUACUUGACGAGAUGAGGAGGAAGUCCAUGGAAGAUCAGAAGGAGACCACCGGAAAUGGGUUUGACUGGGGUGUGCUAUUUGGGUUUGGCCCUGGUCUCACUGUCGAAACUUUGGUUCUCCACAGCGUCAGCAUAACAAACUAGUCGUGGUAUAUGGAGAAUCGGAGAUGGUUACGGUUGUUAUUAUAUAUGCAAUUCUGCAUGUUGCAUGCUGUACGUCGAUUGCCAACAUGUCAUAUUAAAUCAUGAUAGUAAAUGUUUGUAAAUCAGAAUAAUCAUGAUAAUAAAUGUCUGUAAAACAUCUAAAAAUAAUCAAAAUAUCUUUUAGAACUGAUAUCUUUAAUAAAAAAUAUGGUUUAUAAUUAAAAAAACUAUUAUGCAAGUUUAUGAGACAAUUCUCAUUUUUUAACUAAGACAUUAGAUAGUUACAUAAGAUAAGAUCGAAAUAAUGAAAACCACAAUAUCAACCUUAUCUUAUAUUAUUUUUUCUAUUCAUUUGUAUUCAAAACAUUGUCUUUUAUUAUCUUAAUGAAAUUUUUUAAUAUUAGCAAAAUAAAUAAAUUAAAUCAAUAAUGAAAGAAAAAACUUUUAUAAGUAAAUAUUAUAGACUAAAUGGUCAAUAUCUUUUUGGUAUCUUUGACUUCUGGUACACAACCUAAAUGUUCAAUUAAUCAUGAUGAGGUGGUUGUUGUGGUCGUCAUUUGAACUUACCUCAAGAUUAUCUGAAAACUAUGAUAUUUAAUUAGGGUAAUUAAGGUAGGUUUCUGGUACGCCAUGACGCACAUGCGCCAAAAGAGUCAAUACAACGUAAUACAAGUAACGAGUUCAACUCGAGAAUAUUAUAAUUUAGUUGUUGAUAAAUAAUACAUCGUCAGUCAACGGAUUAGAAUCUAACGGCUGAAAAAAUUUCGACACAUGUGCGCCAUGGCACACCUGAAAAUUCUCCUAUUUAAUUAUUUAUCAAUGUUGUAAUAUGAUUUUCCUCAAAAGACGAUAACAUAAGAUUGAAAUAAAUGUUGUAUAUAUUAGGGAUUUUGCAAAGGAAGAAAGUAUUUCAAAUCCCAUUACAGAAAUACAUACAUUUUAACGGAAUAUCAUUGUUGAGAGUUGAGACUUCUGGUUCUUUACAACGUUGACAUAAACAACUAGUUGUACUUAACUACUUAUAACAGGCAUGCGUGCAUGGAGUCAUGGAGAAUUGGUCAUGGUUAUUUAAUUACUUGUGUGUUUCUAUUAUUAGUAUUAUAUAAACAGAGUGAGCUUUAAGUGAGAUAUAAAAAAUAAAUGAGAUAAACAAGGUAUUUUCAUAUAUAAGAAAACAAAUAUGUACAAAAAAUCAGUACAGAAUGGAACUUCUAAAGAUUACAUCAUUUGCGUGUUCACAUGUUUUGCAAAGCUUGUGUUACAAUAUGGGUAUUAAUCAAUCAUAACUUCAAAUCAAUUUUAAUGCAAUGAUGUGGUCAUGUGACUCAUGUGGAUCGAACUUCACUAUACAAUUUACUGUUUUUUAAUGGUAAAUAAUUGAUACUUUGGUGUCUAUAGGGACCGCGUCUCCAACCUCUUGUACCAUAAUUUACCGUUUUACACUUUUACAUGCUAAUAGCUCUGGAAGAUAAGUCAUCAGGCUCAGCUUCAGAUCCAACGACGUUAUUUACCUGCAAGGCGCAUACAUAUAUAUUGUAGCCAAAAUAUUUUCAACUUCACAGCUGCUUCGCAAAAACACAUAUUAUUUUUCAUUUAAACAACAGAAAAUUUACCAAGGAUUUUUUUGUCUUGGUUUUGGAAAGAUAACUUUCCAAUGCACCGUCACCUCGAAGAAUUUUAGCUCCACACCCCAAUCCCCUCACCGAACCCAUGAUUUCAUCAUCAACUACAACAGCAUCUACCCUGUCCUUCCCUGUUCUUACAUCAGGGAUCUGCAACAAUCCAAAAUUAGAAUGAAUUUUAAUUACAACUCAAAAAAGAAAAUGACUUAAACCCCCUCGUGUUUGAAGAUUCAUCUUCCCUGUCAAUACCUUUUAGGUAGGUUUUAACAUUUGAAGGUAAUAGGAUCUUUUAUAACUUAUUAUUAUGCAUUAUUCAUUUAUUUCAUCCCAAAUCAAAGUUUUAAGUUUUAUUAGGCAACCACACCUCAUACAUGGCUUCAGUUAGGAGAUUUUCCAAUAUAGAUCGUAAUCCACGUGCCCCAGUAUUUUUAGAAAUUGCUUUAUUGGCAAUUAAUCUUAGUGCUUUGUCUGUAAAAUGCAGCUUAACCUGAAAACAAUGGAAGAAAAAACUAAAAGAUAUAUUCAUUGAAAGGUAAAGAAAGAUUAUAAGUUUAUAACAUUCCAAAAAUUACUUACUUGAUUCAUGCUAAACAUUUUUUUGUAUUGUUUACUGAGAGCAUUUUUGGGCUUCAUGAGAACCUAGAUAAAAUAUCCAUACCUUAUCAAUAAAAUGCCAUAGAAUCACAAGAAGAAGCUCAAAUUCAAUCUAAUGCACAUUGAAUGUGAAGUUAUCACUUAUUACUAUCUGGAUAAGAAGUAAAAUCCUAAAUUUUAUUUAUAAAAUGACAACUUUCAGAUUUAUUGCUCAUUACUUAUAGAGCUAAAAACAGUUUAACAAAAGCUUUACGGAGAUUGAGAGAACCUGUUAAAUAAAGAAAAAUGACGUAAAAGGUAGAGAGUUUAUUAUCAUAAAUUCAUAAUGCAGUUAGAAUUAUGAUAAAAAUGAACAUUGUAAAUAAACAAGAUCAUAAUGUACCUGUACAAGUUGAUCUUCGUUUAGUGCAGACAAACUAACGAGGAUAGGAAAACGUCCAAUAAAUUCAGGUAUAAGACCAUAUGUCAUUAGAUCACCACUUUCUACCUGAAAUGAACAGUUCUUUCACAAUCAUUUUAAAAAGAAAAAAAUCGAUUUUCUAGCACAGGGCAUAGGUACAGGUUUUCCAGACAAAUGUGUAAACAGGGUUCAAUAAAACAAAAGACUUGCAGGGAAGAUGUCGACAUACAGUGGUUUUCUUACCGAUUCUAGUAGGGAAGAUGUCAGCAACGAUUCUGUUAAACCACCAGAUCUCAUAUUGGCUCGAACUGGUGCUCCAAAUCCUAUAGAAGAAUCUUGUCUUCUGUAGUUCAGAAUCAUCAAACCUUCAGUUGCAAAACCUAUGAAAAAAAUAAAGACCUGGACUUACAAUGAUGAUACAUUAUGACUAUGUCAUUACCUCUCUGAGAUUGUUUUUUCCAAAUCAAUAAAAGCUCCACCACAUAUAAACAAAAUAUCUUUUGUAUUUAGCUGUUGACAAAAAAUGGUUGGAAGAACUCAGAAAAACAAAGGUGUGGAAAACAUGGAAAAAAGUAUGCAUUUGCAUACCAACUUCAACAACUACAAUUCAAAUCCCAAACUUAAAAUGCACCUGAACAGAUGAUUUACUACCUGAUGUCAGAAUAAAUUGUUUAUUAUAAAUAUUUCUUGUGUAUUAUAUGUUCUCUUUUCAAUUUACCGGAUGGAAGAAACUAUGCAUCCCUAAUGACAAAAAAAAGGUUUAAUAACUUUCCAAACUGUAAGAUAUCACAUAAAUAUAUGUCACGAGGGGUGUCACCAGUGUAAUCUUUUUCUAGUGGCACCCCCUUAAUUUUAUACUACUACAUAAGCCACUGUUCAAAUGGGCUUCAGGACCUGGUUCGUGUCCUCCCAAGACCCGAAUGGACCCAGGGGACGGUCGCCCCGACCUUAGUGAUGGACCGCGCACUGUGAUCCAUACGCCUAGGGCCUGGAAAGUGGGUUCCGGACCUGUGGUUUUGGUGAUGGCCCAGGUCCAUUUCCUGGGGCAUCAUCAAUAUACAUAGGCAUCACACAAGUAGAUGAUAAAGAAAAUAAUUACCUGUAUAUUACUAUCACCGCGAGGAUGCUUCCGAGCACCUUUCUCAGGAACAUUCACUAUCUGGAAAAGGUAAAUUUAUUCGUAAAUACUAAAAACGAUGGAAUAUUUACGAAUAACAAAAAAGCUGAAAGUAUUCAUUUAGAAUUAACCAAGAACAUACAUACAGAUAUUAAUAAAAAUCUAACAUAGAAUUUCACAAGAUCUUCAAAAGAUAAUAGAUUGGUAUUAUUAUUUAUUUAUUUUAAUACCAAUAAAUUGCAUAUAAUUAGUUGGUCUUCUUACAUCAUCAUUGUUCCUAUUAUGUGAAAUGGUGGGCAAAUCAUCAAGUAAAUUGUAUCAAGGAACCAUAUAUAGGUAAUCACCUCGAAUGAAAAAUUCUCUAAUUACCAGUUCAGUAAGGAGAAACUAAUGACUGAAUACUGAUACAAAAAUACUAGAAGAAAUUCAGCCAAUUGGGUAGACAAACAGAUUGCAAUUGGAUAACAGAAAAAAAUUGAGAUAAACCAGUGACUUACAGUUCCUUCAAGGAUCUUCAGUAGAGCUUGUUGAACACCUUCACCAGAUACAUCUCUGCUAACAUUUUGACUCUCAGCCUACAAGUUGAAUAUUAUGAAAGAUAGAAAUCAUUUUAGUUUUUAAUUUUUACAUCAAAGAAAUGUAUUCUGAAUUUACAAAACCUUUUUUGUUAUCUUGUCAACUUCGUCGAUAUACACUAUCCCUUGCUGAGCUGUUUGGACAUUGAAGUCAGCAGCCUAAACAAGGCCAAAUUUAAACGCUUAAAAAUAUAAAUGAGAAGAAGAGAGUGCAGCCAUAAGUAAACAUGUAUACAAUACUAACUUCAAGGGGGCAAAUAUAAUUAAAAAGCUCAUCUUUGUGUUCAUAGUAGAAAUGGUGAAGUGUUGAAUGUUGAUCAACAUUGGGUCAACUAAAAGUAUUCUUAAUUUGUUAUAGAUGCUAAUUAUUUGGCAUGAGUUCAUGACUUUACAGUCAAACAAUCAAUUGUUGACCAAUAAAUAUUAUUUCAACUAUCCCAAUGCCACAAUUCAAUAGCUUUAAAAAACCUUUCGAAAAGAUGAAAAAGAAUCAAACAUUUCGAAAUUGUUCAUUUUAUACAUUUAAGCAACUUGAAAGGGAGAGGGGGAUGCAAAGCAAUAAUUCUUUUUGUAUUCUUAAAACUAAACAAUAAUCUUCCCACCAACUAAGUAACUAAGUCCUACUUUACUUAUUACUUCAUCCAUAAUAAAAUGGCAUCAAAUGGAUUUUUAUAAAAUUGUAAAUUGUGAAGUUACAAAAAUCCUACAACUCCAUGAAUCACAUGAUAGACAAUCAGUAAUGAAAGUGUUGUGUAAAUUUUAAAAUUAUUUUACACUCAGAAGAAACCAAACAAUUAAUAUCUCAUAUCUUUAUUAUUUUCCUGAAACACAUAUGGUGUAGUUAUGAAACUUAAAUCUGCUAAUUAAUGCUCGUUGGGUAGUGGGUAAAACACGUACAACAACACAAUGUUCGCAGUCUCGAACAAUGUUUAUUGAAAAGAUCAUGUGAAACAAAUCAAGUAGUAGAAUGAAAAUUGAUCAACGCAUUGAAUACAAAAAAUAUUUUACAAACAUUUUAAUUUUUUUUUGCUAAGCAUACCGCAAGUAACUUGUGAAGUAUUGAUUCUACAUCUUCUCCAACAUAGCCGGCCUGCAAGAAACGCAGUGAAUCAGCUAUGGCCUAAGAGGCUUAACGGUAGUGAUAUUAAAAACCAUAACUUUUCUGGAAUUCUGUCAAUAGGCACAAAUUGUAACCUUGCAAUCGAUAAUUGAAAGAUGGGUUUUUAUAAUGUAUAAUCUCUGUGAAAGACUAAGAGUUGUCCUCCUAUCCAUAAUAAACUUAAAAUAUAUGAUUGAUUUAGGAAAGAUGGAGUAUAUUUGAAAAUACCAAAAUAGAUAAAAAUAAUCACCUCUUAAAAAUAAUUCUGAACUAAUUCUCUGCUUAAUCUUAUUAGGUUUGCGAAUUUCCAUAGUCAAUGUUAAAAAAUAUAAAUUGUAAGAUAGGAGCUGGAUAUUUAUGGUCAUAAAAAACUGGUUUCUUUUGCAAAAUGCAUUUAUGUUCAUAAAGUAGUUUGGAAACUUGCCUGUGUUAAUGUCGUUGCAUCUGCUAUUACAAAUGGCACGUUCACAAAACGAGCUAAUGUUUUUGCAAGCAGUGUUUUCCCUGUCCUUACAGAAAAUAUUGUAGAAAGAAAGCCAAACAUCAAUCCAGACAAUAUCGUAAUAAAAAUAAAAUAUUUUUUUACGCCCGAUAGAUUAUCACAAUUCAUACAGCAAUACUAAAAACAUUACGUAAUUUAUAUCCAGAUGAAAAGGAAAAGAAAGAAGUUGUACCAGAUCCAGUUGGACCCAACAAAAGCACAUUGCUUUUCUCAAGCUCUACUGGAUCAUUUUCGUCAUUAUCAACCUCUGGAUGUUCUGAAUCCCCUCCGGAUCUGUUUAAGCAAUAGAAUAUCAUUAUAGCUGUACAAUAAUUUAGUAUCCAUCUUGAAACUAUAAUAUUAUAUGUAUGUGUAAAUUGUAAUGUGUAAAUUGUAAUGUGUAAAUGGCAGACACACACGGUUACAUCAUAAAGAUUCUAAAGAAGGUUUUGUAGAGAGCUAACUCAUUUUGCAAAGAUGAAUGAUAUAUUCUCUUGUAGUGAUUAUAAACAGCCACGGAGAGCACCUGCAACAUUGUACAAAUUGCAUGAUGCAGAUUAAUGUGGAACAACAUAGGCUUCUGUUGUGAUUUAUCAUCAAUCAGUUGAAAUGUUUCUAGAAUGAAAAUAAUGUGAUAAGUGAUUAAGAAAGCAAAGAUCGUACCUUUUUAGCCUGAUGUUGCCCAAUGACAAAUUUGUCUAGACCUUUGCAAAUCUCCUUGGGCGUUGGCAAAUCCUUCCCCAAAUUGGCCCCAGACGAUUCUACCUUGGCACCAAUCCCACCGAACCUCCCACCACCGCCACUAUCUCCACCACCUCCCCCCAUCCCCACCGCAUUCAGAUCCGACGGGAACGGAUGCCCAUGUGGUGGAGAACCCUGAACAGGCGUCAAUCCAUUAAUUCCCGGAGGCAAAGCUCCGGGAAAUGGUGGCCAAUUCUCUGGUGGUUCCCCACCAUACGCCGUUCUCAAAACAUCCCAAAACGAAAUUCUAUCCCUACUCCCUCCGAUCCCACUCCUAUCCUCCUUCUCCCCUUUCUCUCCCUCCUCUCUCUCUCCGUCCCUCGAAUCCCUCCUCUUCAUCCGGCCAAUCUCCACAAAACUCCCCUGUAAAGGCACUAUCUUGUGCGGUCUAAAGUAAUAGGCAGUCUUGCAGCUAGGACAAAGAUUGACCGCCUGGUAUCCACCGCGAUCCCCCGCCCCGGAGAUCGAUAUCGAGGAUCGAUUGGAGAAAAGCAACUCCAUGGUCUUGGAACACCUAGGACAAUUGGCCUCCGCGCGAAUUCUCCUAGUAUGGUUCUCGUUGGACCCUCCUCCAUCCCACUUGCGGCGUUCCUGCUGAAAUCGAUGACGACAGUGCGAGGACGGUGGUAAAAGGUAGACAGACGUGGAAAUUGCAGAUCGAGGGGUGAAAGAAGAAAGAAGUGGCCGUAUUGAUCGACGUAGAUGACGACGACAUCGAAGGACUGUGGACAUAUCGGAAAUGAACAAGCGGAAGAGAAAAGGAAGAUUCCGCAGUUGCCAUUUAUUUAUAGGUGAUGAGAUAUAUUUCAGUUCUAGUAUUACCGGUGGUGACGGGAUUCAAGAUUCCAUUGAAAAUCAGAUCAGAUCAGAUCAAAAGGGUGUGUUGUGUCAUGCUGAAAAUACUUGAAUCAUGAAUUCAUGAUACAAAAUUACUACAAUUAGUGGAAAUGAGAUUUUACUUGAUUUAUCUAUCGAAGUAUUUAUAGAAAUUUUAUUAGUUAACUUUUAGGAACAUUUGAACUAAUCAUUUUAUCUAGAAUCAUUAGGGAUUUGUGAAAGGAUAACACCUUUUCAAAUUUACGAACAAUGUAAAUUAUGUAAUAUUUAGAUCUGUAAUUUUAUAAUAAAGGAGAGAGAAAAAUAAAAUAUCCCUAAUAAAUGCAUAGAAAUAAUAACAUUAACAUGUGGAUUGUGGAGUUGUGGACCACUGGAUCAUGUGGUAUUGUGAAUAUGUGAUGUAACUUUAUAAUUUAAGUAUUAAAUUGGAAAGUACAGUUUAUAGAACAAAUAACACGUAAUGAAAUCAAUAAAUAGUUACAACACUUAAAGUUAAACCUUCAAUGAAUCCACGAUAUCCACCAACUCUCACUUCUCUCGGUCCUUCCUUGACCUAUAAGAAAGAAUUUUUUUUUUUUUAAAGCAGAGCUCUUUAGUCUUUACAUAAAGAGACGGAAUUUUUUACACCUCUAUACUCUUGAGGCUUGCCUCUUGGAGUCAUAAUCUUUAGAUUUUAGAUAAUUGAUACCAAGUAAAAGUUUUUUGUAUUCCUAAAAUUAGAGAAAGCUUCAUAUUUUCCAUCCAGUUAUUUAGAUUUCGGGGUUUCAGGCUUCAGUAUUUCAGGAAUUCAGACUAUUUUAAACUAAGAACUCUGUGGGUUGAAAACAAUUGAUUUAUAAAAUCUCCAUAUUUUUUAAUUGGAAAUUUUGAAGUUUAAAAAAUAAUAAAGUAUCAAGAUACAAUUUUAAUUAAUUUUUAAAUAAAAAAUACUAUUCGGAUUUAAAAAGUAAUAAAUUAUUAUUUAGGUCUUAAGCCCAAAUAAAAAAGACGGUAUGAAACUAAUAAAUACCUUCACAUGCCAUCAGUGAAAAUUUGCAUCCCAUCACAUGAGAGCUGAACUGGAAUCCCUUCCCUAAUAACAACAAAGAAUAGUAAAGUCGUAAACAGAUAAUGAACAACUAGUCUGAAACAAUCUUGUAAGAUAGUGAGUGAAAUGAAAUAUAAACAUUAUGGAUUUAUUACUCUUUGGACCAUUCUGCAAGAAUUUUAUUAUGUUCAUGAUAAUCAAAAUCAUGUGACAUUCCAACCAAAAGAGCACGCUUUGGACAUAUCCUCCUCACCGCAUCGAGUGUCUACAAUGUAAGUCCGAACAUCAUUUUGGAAGAGAGAAACACAUUAGCCAAGGGUUCAAACUAGAGAGGUAAAAAAGAGCAAAACCUGAGAAAAAUAGAAAUGAGAACCGCGAGAACUGGCCUGCGUGCAUAACAAGAACAUAAUUAAAUGAUGUUAAAGUAUCUCUUAUAUGUAUGUAUCCACUGACCUUAUGCAAUCUAUUGGUAUCUAUUAAAAGAAGAUCUAACUGCACUCCUGAUCCAUAUUUUGAAAUAACUGGGACAUUCAGAAGAAGAAAAAUUAGAACAAUUAAGAAAGAAAAAUAACAAUUAAUCGAAUGGUAUCUCUUAUUAGAAGAAAAUCUAACUGUACUCCUGAUCUAUAGUUUGAAAUAACUGCCACAUUCAGAAGAAGAAAAAUUAUAACAAUUAAGAAAAAAAAUAACAACAAUUAAUCAAAUAUCGAUACCAUUUUCAGUAUUUUCAGGAAAACGUGAAACAUCAGAAACAUAUGCAAUUCUGUAUUUGUCCCCAAAAAGGAAGCCUAAGUUGACAUAACCCUCUCCAUGCAUAACCUGCAUUGGUUUUAAAUAUUAAGAAAAGUAAUGGAGCACGGAUGCUGUUUUGUUGUUUUCGGAAUGCUACCGGCAAAGGAACAAAUUUCAAGCCUGAUGCUGUAAAUGGUUUCUCAGAGCAAUUGUCGAUGAUAUUCCAGUCUAUACGAGAUACAGGACUCCCUACUCCAACUUCUUUCAAAUUUGAUGGAAAGAGGUACCGAAAUUUCUCUACCACGCUGUAAGGUAGGUAGAGGUAAACAUGCGAAAAUAUGAAAUCUAUCAUCUAAAAGGUUUUAUUGGAUCGGCGUCAGUAUGAGUAACAUUUCGAGGGAUGAAGAUUUGGAAUGUGUAAGCUAACAAUCCUUAGGAGAUAGCUCGAUGAGUGAUCAAUAGUUGGUUGAGUGAUUGAGUCAAAUAUUCAUUUUAGAUGAACAAAUUAGGAAGUUGUACCUGUCCAUAGUGAACUGAUUGAGAUAAAUUGGCAUUGGAUCGAUAUCAUUGCGAUAAGCUUGAAGUGCUCUCACAUCAUCCAAACCAUGAAUGGCAUCAGCAUGUUCAUGGGUCAAAAUGAUCUACAUUGAUUGAUGCACGAAAAAGCUUGUAUUCAUAAUCACCAUAAGAAGAAGAAGACAACUGAAGACAAAACUCAGAAGGAGAAAAGGUUGAAAUAACGUCUCACAGAAUCUACUCGGGGAAUCUUGUAGAGAGUAAACCAGCGGAGCACUUGUUCUCUAAAAGUCUUCCCUACAUCAAUCAUGAUGUAAUUGUGAUCACUGCCUCCAGGACAAUAGUCUAUCAGCAAAGACGUAUUGCACCUAAAAACAGCAACAAUAGACAAGGGUUUAUCAAAAUGAUGUGGAAUCAAUCGAGCGAAAGAGCAGAAAUGAGAACAGCGCACCUGUAAUUAGGGCUUUGCUCGGGCGGGAGAGACAGAGAGUCGAAACAAACUUUGCAGGGAGGAUCGGAGGGUUGGAUGAGACACGCAAAUUCCGGAGUGCAUCCAGAAGACCCGGAUCCAAGAAUUAUAACUGAAGACGGGCAGUCGUUUCGGUUAGAUCCAUUGUUCUUCUCCAAAGACUCGACCUUUGCGCCCUCCUUUUCCAUCUCCGAAUUUUCCAAAGAUGAAAAUGGGGACAAAAUGUUACCUGAUAUAUGAUCUAGUUGGAACUCGUGUCUUUUCAUUUUUGAGUUUCUUCCAUUUUUCACUUCACUAGUUCUAUAUAAAAUACUAAAUACUACUAUGUCCAGGGUUUAAAAUACUAAAUACUACUGACUUAUGCACACCCGGGCGUGUCCGUUGGAUGGAACGUCAACGGUAAGAUAUUGAUUUUCUUAGUUUUUGUAAAUUUUGGUCAUUAGUUUGUUAAUUAGUUAGCUUUUAUAGGUAUAUCAUAGGUUAGGUUUCCAUAGGUGUCAGUUAUAGUUAUUUUUAUUUUAUUUUUUCCUGUCAUGUCUUCUCCGUGUCUGUUCGUUGUCAGGUGUUGAUGUCUGUGUCUUCUUUUUAUUCCGUCCUCGGAUCUGGGUUUCUUCUACCUCUGCCUUGGGUUUCUUCAUCUUCAGUUUUCGAACCUGGGUUUCUUUCUCAUUCUCCGAUCUCGUCCUCGGUUUUUUCUUCUGUCAGGUUUUUUCUUCUGUCAGGUUUUUUCUUCUUUUAUUUCUCUGGUGGUACAUCGUUCUCCAACUUCUUCCAUCUUCUUCUUGUUCAUACUCGGUAUACCGUUCUCCAGCUUUUGGGUUACUUCGUAUUCCUCGGUUCUACCGGGUUGUUUUCGUAUACCGGUCAGAUUGUUUUGGUUUCUUUCCAUUCCUAUUGUUUGCCGGAGUAUGGUUUGCCCGAAUAUCAAAUGUUUUUUCAUUUCUCCUAUUGUUUUCGUCCUCAGAUUGUUUACCGUCUUCUGUUUAGCGUUCUCUGUUUUCUCUAAGUGUUUCCCGGUUACUUUUGGGAUACUUCUUCUUCCAGUUUUCUAUUAUAGGUUUGCCAUUCACACUUCAAUUUAACAUUUUAAGAUCAAUCCUUCAUAAUCAAAGUUAAAAAAACACAAGGUGGAAUCCCAAUAAAAAAAAGAAAUGCUCACGCAUCUUUGAUUACGAACGGUCUUCAACAAGUAUAAAUAAUGUAAACGAUUUAACCGGAAAUAAUCAAGCGUAAGAUGAUUGUUUCGAUCUGUAAAUAGAAAUUGGGUUAAAUUCGUUCAUUCGUUUUUUAGAUUUUUAAUUGCUAAUGAUUUACUCUGAUAUUGGGUUCAAUUCAUUCGAUCUGCAUUUACUCCCAUAGCUAUUGGGUUCAAUAUUCUUCUUUUUUCCUUCUGUCUUGGGUUUCUUGUUUUUUUUAUUGCAUCUUUGUCUUGGGUCCUGCUAAUGUUUUUUUUUAUAGCUAUUGGUUUACUGCAUCUACCGCAACUAUUGGCUUACUUCAGUCUUUCCAUCUCCAUCCAAUUAAUUUUUGACGGAACCCACUUCCUUUCGCCGACUAGGAUCUUAACUGGUCUCCAGUUCUUGGGAAGCAUCCUUUAAACAACAUAUGUGAAUAAUAUCAACGGCAGAUUUGCUUCAAUAAUUACAAGUCAAAGAUUGCUUAAUAAAUACUUCGAGGAAUUGGUUACAUAAAAAUCGUGAAAUUAUAAUAAGUCAAAAGAAAUUCAUUAUAAUCGUUACAUUAUUAAGCAUAAUCAUUAUAAGUGAAGAAAAUAAUAAUAAUUUUAAUUAUCGUAACAGUAAUUAAUGAGAUGCAUACUAAAGAUUUAAUUAUCGUAAGAGUAAAUAAUGUGCUACAUAAGAUUAAAUAAUGAGGUGCAUAAUAAAGAUGAAAACCAUACCUAACUCAACAACAAAUAUGUUUAAUAUUUUACCGGAAAAAAAGAUAAUGGACCAAGGUCCGACACCAUUUGGAGGCCCUCGAAAGAAGCAUGGAGUAGAAAUCUAAAACCUUAGGAUGUACUUUAAUUUUUUCAGGAGUGAAGCCAGAAACUCGAAGAUCUUCAAUUGUCGUGACUCGAGAUAGAGUUACGUAUACCAUUCCUGAUCCGAAUGCUCGAGUCAGAUCGGUAGUCAAACGAUCAAUAGUCAUCCUUUGACAUUUGUGAACACUCAAUGCCCACGCUAAUAUCAACGGAACCUGCCUUCGAAAAGUCAUAACUUCACUGCUUUCCAUAAUGUCCCAUUUUUCAACAUCCAAUGCGACUUCCAAUCCUGAGUCGAAUCGAACUAUGGGCACCAUACCAUUCAGGUUGUUUUCCGAUGACAUUAAUGAGCCUCCUUUGAAUCCUGUAACUACUCCAGUAGCGCCGUUUACGAGUCCGAUUACUUGAUUAAUGUUCUUGAUCAGCAUUACUCUAGCGUCAUUGCAUAUUUCUAAUUCAUCUGGAGCAAUUUGAUAUUUCAACUGAUGUAACCAUAGCGAAGAACCUUUACAACUGCACGAAAUCUCACUACCUCCUUCCCCACACUUUUAAAACGCUCCUGAUUGACUCUUCUAACGUCAUCGAUUCUUGGAAAAAAUCGAGUUUCCUGAUCUAUUUCAUCACUAACGUCAUUAACAGAUGUAGUGUCAUUGAUCAACCUUUUGAAAUUUUUAUUAUCACGAUCAACUUGACCGCGUUGGAUUCCUUCAAGGGAUUCAAUCAGUUGAGAAUCUGACUGACGGUAAACAUGGGUUAAUUCCAUCUGAAUGUCGAAUGUGGUUUCCCAACAAACAGAUUCGAAAGCAAAUUCAAUUUGCGGGUUUGGAGCAUUGAUGGGAGGAAGUUGGAAGAAGUAGCCACUAAUAAUCAGUUGAAGAUCUCCCCAAGGUUUAUCCCCUUUGUACAGAGAUUUGCUGAUCGUGUUGGACACGAACUCAAGAUUAUCGAAAAGCUCACCGUCGAUCAUGUUGAUCUCAUCAAUUACUAGCGCUUUAGCUUUCUUCUAGAGGUCGACGGCCUUACUGCUUUUAAAGACAAGAGAUUAGUUCUUUUUUGGUACCUUUUCCUAACCCGACGCCGGCGAAGGAGUAGAGAGUCUGUCCACCUAAAGCACAUGCGGCAACGCAGUUGAAGCAGUCAAAAACUGAGUUGGGAUGAUGAAGUCGUUGGAGUGUGAAGACGGCGUGUCUUAAAAAAAACUCUUACCCAUCCCGGCAGAACCGGUAAUGAAGACCGAUUUUCCACUAGCUAUUGCAGAAAUUAGUUGUUCUUGCUGUGUGCUGAGACUGAUUUUCGAACUGCCGUUGACAGAAGAUGGAGAUUUCAGACCAUCGCCGUCACUAGAACAACCGGAGUAAUUAUCUCUGGCCCUCUUCCUAACACCCUUGUCUUGCGACGCCAUUCGCGAGUACAAAUCACUGCAACUCAAAUACAGCUAUUGACAACAAAAAUUUUAUAGAGCCAACAAUAAAAUUAUAAUCUAAAUUAACGUCUGGAUUUCUCGAAUACCCAAUUCUUCCGGAUGGCAGAUUUCAGAAUCUAAGGUCCUCCAGGCAGCAGAAAAGGGAACAUCAUUGGGGAUUUAUUCGAUAUCAGUUAAUACAUACAGUUAAAGGGAUUCUAAUUUAAACCAAAUAACUAUCCAUAUUCUAAUUUAAACCAAAUAAGUAUCCGUUAAUCAACAUUUUAAUUGGAUUGAGGUAAUCGAAAUUUCUCCAAUACGGUUAUCGGAUAAAUUGCAUAAAUAGUAGAGGAAUCAGAUUCUUCUAUACCGACAAUAUUUCAGAUUCUGUCGUCUUCUUUCUCGAUGGGUUAUGUAGAAUUUCAUCUACUUCUUCUUCCAGAUUCAUCGAUCUUCUUUCUUUUCUAAUAGUUCUGUCUCUUCGUUCUUCUGUUAAGAUAGCACUACAAAAAACCAUCGCAGUUCUGGCGCCCAUCUCCCGACGGCCAGGCCGCCAGAAUGUUACACUUGUCCUUCGGCAUAAUUUUCCCUCGUAAAUGAGAGAAAUGAGCUGGCGGCCAAGCCGACGGUAUCUUUUUUUUAAGAUGCCAUCGGCUUGGCUGCCAGCUCCAAUUUUCCCAACGGUCAGGAAGAAGUGAGCCGGCGGCCUGGCCACCGGCAUCCUAAAACCAUCAACGGUCGGGAGAAAAAUUGCUGGCGGCUUGGCCGCUGGCUACUUUUACAACUUUUACAACUUACAACUUGCUGGCGGCUUGGCCGCUUGUUUUUUUCAGUAACCCUAAAAUUACAACUUGUGCCGUCGCCCGUACAGUCAAAUCUAGUCAACUCGAACUUAAGUAUUUCCCGGCGGCCUGAAUUUUUUAUAUAACUAAAUUUUUUUCAGAUUUCUUUUAUUUUAUUUCCCCCCAAAAUCCUCUCCACUUCUCCCAUUCCUCUCUAACCCUCCCCAAAUCCCUUCGGCGAUCUUUCAGCCACUUCUCUCCGGUCAUCCUCGAAGUUCAUCCUCAAGGUAUGUUUUUCGUCUUCAUUUAUUUCUUAUCUUGUUUUUUUUGUUUUUUUUUGUUAUCUUUUUCAUCUUCUAGUCUGUCCUCCGUCCACUUCUCUCCGGUCAUCCUCGAAGUUCAUCCUCAAGGUAUGUUUUUCAUUUUCAUUUAGUUUUUGUCUUAUUUUUUGUUAUCUUUUUUAUCUUCUUCUCUCAUUUUUUUUUGUUGUUUAAAUUUGGGGGUUUAUGAUUUGUGAAACUUUGAGUUAUUACGGGGUUUAUAUUUAGAGUUUUAUGAAAUGAGGGUUUCUAAUUUAGGAUUUUAUGAAAUGUUAGUUUUUUAAUUUGGGGAUUUGAUUUUAUUUAUUUAGAGUGUUUGAUUUGUGUAAGUUUUUAAAUGUUUUAACUAUUAGGGUUGAUGUUUGAUUUAGUAUGUUGUUUUUAAAUGAUUUUGUGUUUUGAUGUUUUUUUAAGUAUUUUAAAUUUACUGUUUUUGUUAAAUGGUUUGCUGGAAAUUUAUUGUUUAACACUUAUAUGGUUUGCUGGAAAUUUUAUUUAUUGAUCUAUAAUGUUUUUUUUUUAAUCUUUUAAUGUUUUAUUUUUGUGUUUGCUGGAAUAGGUAGUUGAUAAUUGAUCUUUUAAUCUUAUAAAUUUUUGAUCUAUAUGGUUUGUUGGAAUUUUUUGUUAUUGAUAUAUAAUGAUUUUUUUUUUUAUUUUUUUAAUGUUUUAAUGUUUUAUUUGUGUGUUUGUUGGAAUAGGUAGUUGUUGGAAUUUUUGUUUUAAGUUUUUAAUUAAAUGUUCUGUUUUAAAAUUUGAAUUAAAUAUUCUAUUUUAAAUUUUUAAUUAAAUGUUUUGUUUUAAAUAAUUAUUUAAAUUUUCUGUUUUAAUUUAUGUUACUAUUUAUGUAAUUUUUUUAGGUUGAAUUGUUGUUGGAUUUUGUGUCUCCGAUAUCCGAUCCACGAGUGAAAUUCAAGUUGUGCUUUAAUCUUUAUCGAUCGAUCAAUGUAAUAUUUUUCAUUCAUUUUAAAUUAUUCAUUUAUUAAUUAGUUAAUAUAAUUUACAUGUUAAUUAAAUAAUUGGAAAAUGAAAUGUAUUUUCUUAAAUUGUAUGAAUUUAAAAUGAAUACAAUUUUUUUGAAAUGAAUGCUAUGAAAUAAUGAAAUUCCAUAAAAUGAAUUGAAAUACAUGAGUUAAAAUGAAUGCAUAUGUUAAAAUGAAUGCAUGAGUUAAAAUUAAAUCAAAAUUUAAAUAAAUUUAAAAAUUAGUUAAAUAAAUGUUUACUAAUUAUUUUAUAUAAAUAUGUUUUUUAAUUAGUUUAUAAUAAAUGUUUGGUAAUUAUUUAUUAAUUGAAAUAAUUAAUAAAUAAUUAUUUAAUUAAAUUUAAAUAAUUAUUGAAUUAAUUAGGGUUAGGGUUAGUUAGUUAUUAAAUAAUUGUUAAAUAAUUAAUUAUUAAUUAAAAAAAUAAUUAAUAAUUAAUUAAAAAAAUAUUGGAAAUUCCAAUAAUCAGUUUUUAUAUGAAGAACUUGAUUUAAAAUCAAAUGUUGAAAAUAAUUAUUUAAAAAUUAAAAUCAUUUAUUUAAUUAAUAAUUAAUUAAAGUUAAAUAAUUAAUUAAUAAUUAAAAAAAAUAACAAUUAGAUUUUCUAUAAGUGUGAUUGUUAGUUAAUUUUUAAAUAAUUGUUGAAUAAUUAAUUAUUAAAAACACUCACAGUAUAUAUAUGUUAUUGAAAUUUUAAAUGCUGAUAACAACAUUUAAAAAAUUUAAAAUACUGAAAUUUGAAUUCAAUUUUGACGGCACAAAUUACUGACAUGUCAAUUAAUGUGAGUUGUCAAUCAGUUAAUGUCAGUUAUUAUUAAUUAAUUAUAAUCGUUUAUUUUGACUAAAACUAAUUGUAAAAUUGUAAUCGACUUAACCUAAUUCUAAUAUAGUUUAAUUUCUUUUUCUAAAAGAAAACAUCUUUUGACAUCAUUUAAUGUCAAAAGACAUCAAAUGUCAAUCUCCGAUUGAUUGACAUGCUUCUGAUGCCAGCUUUUAUAAUGUCUGUAAAGUUGUUUGAUAGUUGAUAUUGUUGGGUAGAAAAAAAACGAAUUGCACUGGUGAUGUGCAUUUUCUACUCCUAACAAGUCAUGUACAACAACGGAUUAAGAGUUGAUCGGAUGACUGGGCAGACUAAAUAGGAAAUUUUAUUUCGGAUGAUCAAGUUUUGAUUAAGACUGUGCAGCCACAGAUUGACACAGUAGUUAAUAUAAGAAAUCAUGUUGAGGUACACUUAGAAGAUACGAAGCGGGCUAAGAUUGCAUGGAAAUUUAAAAUGUAUGUUUUUUCUAUUUUAAAUAAAAGAACACCUGAGGGCCAUAACUCAUAAGUACAUAGGUACAAACGGAGAAGAUUAUAAAAGAACGCCUGACCGUUCAAGUACAAUAUCUAUCCGUUUUCCAUCUAAACUUACCCUAAACAUAUUUUUCACUCCAUCACGUUCUUCACUUCCGCGCCGUUGAAACAUGGUGAGGAGACUGGAAACAGUAGGAUCGUCGACGCUACCUAAGAGGAACAGAGGUCAUAGAACUCACGGGGGACAGUAAUUUACUAACUGAAUCUAAUAAAGGAAGAGGAUCAUAAUUUACUAAUCAAAUAAACAAUGAUUAUUUGAAUAAGGUAAGAAAACGACUAACAUAUGAAAUAUUGUAAAAGUAGAGACGUGGUGAUGUGCAAAAUAGUUUACUAAAAUAAAUUAAAUGAAAAACAACAACGAUAACAAUAACAAAUAUAUUUAAAAAGAAUACUUAGAUUUAAAUUACAAAUCAGCAGAACAAUGUAAACAUUUGGCUGAAAGAUGUCAAACACUAAUCGACCAGUCAUUUAAUCUUUUUAAUUCAGUAUUAGUAAUAAAAAUAAAGGCGGACGAAAUAUGUGGAUAACGACUUCUGUAAAACUAAGAAAAAUCUUUGUAUUUCUUCUGAAUGACACGAAGAACAAACAAUCAAUUUCUUAAAAACAUGAAGAACAAAACAUAUACAUUCUGAUCAUACAAGAUGAACAAAAUACAGAAAACUAUAAAAAUAUUAACAAACCAACGAACAAAAGGACAAAAAUCACAUUAACGAAAUAUGCAAUUAAAUUAACAUAGAACUUCGACCAGAACUCGAAGAAUCAUACAGAGUACGGUGGUUCGUCAAAAGACAGAGAAGCAUUAACUGCGAUUCAACUUCGAAAACGGGGAUAAGGGAAAAAAAAGUUAUAAAACCAUAUCAACGGAAAAAAUAGAUAAGGAAUAAAAUAUUACAGAACCAACCAGAUGAACGGAACGACAGUCUUAGACACCCGGAAAUAUUGCAGAACCAACUUCGAGAACUAGGCAAAUGGAAUAAAAAAAUCACAAGACAAAAAAACCAUAUCAACGGAAAACAGAGAAAAGGAAUAAAAUAUUGCAGAACCCACCAGAUGAACAGAACGACGGUCUUAGACAACCGGAAAACCUAAAAUACAAAACACCAGAAAACUAGUAACGCCACAGACAGUAACUAAGAAGGAAGAUUAUCUAGGAAGGACAAGAAAUGUUAGAACUUUUGAGUUAUCGGAGGUUAUAUAGGGGGGUUGGUAAGAGGGUCAUCGGAGGUUAUGUAGGGAGGGGUUAUCGGAGGUUGGUAAUGGUUAGUAGCGGGGUGGAAGACGGUAAAGGGUAGUAGAAGGUGGAAGAAAGCAGGAGGGAGAAGAAGAUGGUAGUGGUUAAAUAGGCAAAAAUUUAUGUGAAAAGACUAGUUGACAAGAUUGCUAGAAGGUUAAACAAAUAGGUAUGUAGUGUAAUUAAUUAUUAUUCUAGUACUUACUAACUUCUUAAUGAUCCUACAAAUUACGUGCUUAUGGGUUCACAUGCUCGCACUCAAAAAUAAAAAGCCAUGUGUUAUCCGGAAGAACCUGAUCCAAGGAUCGAUGGUGAUCGAAGAAGAGCGGUGGCAGUUUCGGCUCCCUUCAUUGCUCUUCGAUCCCUCUUUUUCCAUCUGUGAUGGUGAAGAAGACGGUCUGGACCCAGUGGCGUAUCCAGGAUUCCCCGACAGGGGGGGCAAGAUUCGCCGAAGGCGAAAAAAAUUUUUUGUACUAAUUAAAAAACCUAUACAAAUUUUGGCAUGACCUAUCAUAUAAUUGAUUAUAAAAACCUAUAAAAAAUCAAUACAUUCAUUAUAUAAUUAAUAUUCAAUACAUUAAUUAAUAUUCAAAUUAAAAAUAAAUAUAUUCAUUUAAUUAACAAUAAAAAUUUCAAAUACAUUUUACAUUACUUCAAUGUCCUACGACGAAGACACAUAUCAUUAAAUAUUUUUAAAAUAACUUCGUUGUCUAUAGUUUUAAAAAUAUCUUUCUCGAUAUAUGUUACUAAACAAUCAUUUAUCAAACUAUCACCAAGGCGAUUUCUGAGACGAGUUUUAAUGUGGGAAUCACAUUAAAGAAAUAAAUAAAAUGGUUCCUCUUUAAUUAAUUAAAGAAAGAAAUAAAAUUCACAUGGAUAUUUAAUCAAUUUAGGUCCCUGUUUUAAAAAAUCACAUGGAAUGAUGAAAAUUCAUAUUUUUUCAGGUUGAUGAUAGUUCAAUUUAAUUUUUUGCAAAUGGUUCAUUAUCCUGUUUUAAAAUGGUACAUUUUUUUCCGGAUCAAGCUAGGUUAAACACAAACGGAUCAAGAAUUCAAAAUAGACGGACAUACCUAGAGCCUAAAGGCUAGAGAGUAGUGGAGACUGGACUCUGGAGAGUGGAGACGAACUGAAGGCAGUGAAAUCCGAUGGUGGUGGUGUCCUGUGGGCUGUGGCACAAUAACUGAAUCUCGAUGGACGGUGGUCAGAACGUGAGAGUUUGGCCGGUUGACCCUGAGAUGAUCGUGAGGUGGAUGGGAGGAGGAGAGAUUGGGGGAAGUCGUGAGUUUUGGGGAAGGAGAUUGGGGGAAACAAGCUAGAUUGAAGGAAAUUAGAUGGAGGGAAACGAGAUUGGAGGAUGGGGCGGAAAAUGAGAUUGGGGAAAUAAUAUUGGCGAAAGAAUAUUGGGGAGAUUUUUGGAGAAAUCGUGGGUUUUGGGGAUAUUGGGGAUAUUGGGGAAAUUGGGGAAAUUUGGAGGAUAUUGGGGAAAUAUCGUGGGUUUUGGGUUUGGGGGAGAGGUUUAGGGAUUUAGAAAUUUGGGGGAGAGGUUUAAGGAUUUAGAAAAUUUGGGGAGAGGUUUAGGGAUUAAGAAGAUUUGGGGGAGAAAUUUAGGGAUAUUUAAGUUUUUAGAGAUUUAUAUGUAAUUAAACUUAAAAUUACAUAUAUUGUAAAAUUUAUAUAGUAUAUAAAUAUUGUGAAAUUUAUAUAUUAACCCUUAAAAAAUAUUAAUAUAUUAUGAAAAUUACACUUAACCCCCUAUAAAAAAUUUAAUUACAUAUAGGUCCUUGGAUAUUUUCCAAAUUUUAGGGGGGGCAAUUGCCCUCCCUUGCCCCCCCUGGAUACGCCCCUGUCUGUACUCCGCAUUCCGAUGAGUGAACGGGUACCCGACCUGGUAUUGCACCUGGGUUUGGGUUAUCAUCAGUAUUUGAUUUUUCUAUUUAUAGUAAAGAUUCAUCUUGUAGUACUAUAUACCAUUAUUAGUUAUUAGCUGGUGUUUACAUCUUAUGUUCCUUAUUUUCCUUACAAGUGUGGUCCUUGGUUGUAACUUAUAAUUAAUGUAAAGUAAGAAUUAAUUUUUUGUACUUUAGAAUACAAGAAAUACACUUGUAAUUUAAAAUGUAAAGCUUGUACUACUUAUUUUCCCAGUAUCCAAAUGGAUUAACAAGUUUUACAUAUUUCACACAUCCUAUCGUACUUUUAGUUGUUUAAUCAAUUGUCUAUCUUUCUUAUUAUCGUAGAUUGUAAUUCCUUUUAUUUUAUUUUUAAUAUAAAUCGUCAUUGGAAGAAAAAAAUGGAAAAGACAAUAAGCCAACCAAUUUUUUUUUCUCAACUCAUAUUUUGAAAGUACUUUUUAUAAAAAUACGUAAGAUCAAUAUAAGAUAGGUAGAGAAAAAAAUAUAUGGAACGAAAACAAUGUAGGUAAAUUUUAAGAUUAAAUGGUAAAUAUCAUCUAUCAAAGUCUAAAGUUUGGAGAGAGUAACAUGUUUACUUUUUUUUUUUACGUUUUAAAAUUAAUAAAUUAUCAACUGAUUUUAAAUUAUAAAAAUGUGAUGGAGUAAUAGUGUUGCACUGGUAACUUUGAUAAAUUUAUGUAUUUCUUUUGGUGUAAAUUUUCAUAAGUUUAAUUAUUACCAAAAAUGUUUAUGUAGGUAACCUUAUAAAAAAAUGGUGUUGCCCUCUUGCAUGCUCAAUUUUCCAUUGCCCUCUCUUAAUUUAGUUAAUUCCCUGGGUUCUGUAAUAUAAUUACUGAAUAGAGAACAUUUACAUUAUAGUAGAAAUUAAAUGAAAAUUAUAUAUUUUAGGAUUCAGAAUUUUAGUCUCGUAAUUUUUAUCACGAUAUAUUAAUAUUUGGUACCCUCGUGAGAUUCUCCGUUCUCGUUCUCGAUACCUGUCCCGUACCCGGACGAAAUCCCCGGCCAUUUCCGGGUCGGGAAUGGGAAUUGUAUAUAAACUUUAUAUAAUAUUUUAUAUAGUAUAAUUUAUAUAAAUAACCUUAUACAAUAUAUUAAAUACAUAAGUAUAUAUUUAAAAUAUAUUAUAUAUCUAUACAAAAAUUAUAUUUAACCUCUAUAAAAAUGAUAAAACAUAAUAACACAUAUAACAUAAAAAUCUCAAUUCUCAAAUAAGUGAAAUAAUUAUUUAGACUAUUUACAUUUAAAUCAGUAUUUUAAUUAUUUAUUUUUAUUUUUUUUGAAACAGUUAAAUAUUUUCAUUAAUCAUAAUGAAGGAUAAUAUUGCCCUGAUUACAUUGGGGAUAAGAAAAUAGAAUAUGGUAAAGAGUACAAGACUCAUUUGAUACUUUCCAUAUAACCAUACUGCCUAGUGUUGGGGACUAGGUUAUCUGCCUCCGGAGGUUGGUCUCUCAUAUUUGUAUCGUGUUAUGCCUCAAUGGGUGACAACAUCUUUUCUCGAAGCCCUCAGGAUUGAAGGAAAAACUUAUGUCAUUUAUUAUCUCGUUGAGUACCGUUUCUUGUGGUCUGAGUAAGUGUUGCUGCCAUCUUUUUUUUCUGCCCAUAUGUGUUAACUUAAGGCUUCAAUCGUGUUCCAUGAUAAACCUAGCUUAAAUUGGAGAGUGACGUGUUAGCUUUUGACAUACCUUAGUUAGGUCUCUUAGCCUAAUGUCUGGGUGUGUGGUUGUGGGUGUUGGUAUCUAUGUUCAUGAUUUUUCAAAAUAUAUUGUCUAAUUUUUCUAUUAAGGGUAAUAGAAUGACUCUAGGCAAGUGCAGUUGAAAAAUAGGUGAUUUCUCGUUUCAUUUUCAGUGAUGUAUAAUAGGUAUAUGGUUUGGUUAAGCAUGUCCCAUCCAUUUAAUCCGAUGAAGGUGUUUAUAUGUCCCCAUUUUAUUCUCCAAUGGAGAAUUUUGUGGGUUUGUUUGACCAUAUUUUCUAUGCUAAAUUGUGACUUUUAUCUUUAAUUAUCUCAGCUAUUAUUUUUUUUAAUAUUUUGGUAGGAGAUUUUUGGGUCUGGGAAAAUUAUAUUUAAUCCUAGCCCCGUCUCCUACCCGGUCAGUUGGUCACCCCUACCUCUGUUAUAAUAAAAAAAAAGUAUGACGUAAGCCCUUACUUAAGUUCGCGAGUCCCCAUGAAUCAUGAACUUGACCAACCCAUAGUACCCUACUACAUUUACAUUUGGGUCCCUUCACAUUUUACAAAGUAUUAUAUAUAAUAACUCUAGGCCAGCCAAGGAAGGAAUCGAUAUAUUAUCCUUCUAAAAAAAUAAAAUUCAUGAUAAGUUUAAUUAUCUUACACAGUAUUGUCAAUGGCCGACUGGUUGCCGGCCGGCGGUCCUUUCACUGAAUUUUAUUGCGUGAUAAAUGAUGGAUAAUAUUUAUUAAGUGCAUGGCAUAUUUAUUGCAAUUAAUGCAUCCCUGGCAUUUCUAAUUCUUGUGCCCUUCAAAUAAUAGACGACCACUUACAUCGAUUCAUUUAAUUUUUCUUCUUUUUUUACAGCAGAUGACAUAGUUAAAAUAAAUUAACAGUUUAGAUUAAUAUUUCAGAAGAUAUUUUAUUUUUGAAGUAAAAAAAAAAUCCAAAACUGUAAUUGAAACCAAAAGCAUAGAUCGCCAGUCAAGUCUUUACUUCUUUUACUUGCUUCUAUCCUAUUGCUUACAGAUUUUUUACAGACCUACGUACGAGGGUUGUUGGCAAGAAGUAGUACUCCAAUCAACUGGGUAGCGUAUGUAUGUAUGUAUGUGUAUGAAAUUAUGCAUGCGUUUGCUGCUAUGAAGAGACUGGAAAUUAAUGCGGCUGCCGGCAGUACAAAUUAGAAGGAGGUGGAAGUAAUUAACAUUGAAUGCUUGAGAUCAAAUUGAGAUGAAAUAUUGUUUGGUUUGUUUUUAAUCACUGGAUUUUACUGCUGUUUUUUUAGGUAUUAUAUUGCUGUCUUUAUUUUCCCUAGCUAGUUCAAAAUUGAAUUUCUUGGAAGUUGGAGUGAAAAUGUAUAGUGUCUGAAAUUCACAAGAUUAAUUCCUCUUCUUCUUCUCUUCCAGUCUCUCUAUUGGAUGUGUUAUUAUAUAUAUAUGAGUGGAGAGAAGUAGGUUUUUGACACCAUCUUCACUACUGAACUACUCAUCUUCUUCCAUAUAUUGUCGAUCUGCAGCAUAAAGAAAUAAUGGGGAGGCCACCAUGCUGUGGAAAAAUUGGUGUGAAGAAAGGUCCAUGGACACCGGAAGAAGAUAUCAUCUUGGUUUCUUAUAUCCAUGAGAAUGGUCCUGGAAACUGGAGAGUUGUUCCUUCCAACACAGGUUUAAUUAAUUGAAAAAUCUUGGCAGGUGUUCAAUUUGUGUAAUUAAUUAUAAGUAUGGCAAUUGGCAGGUCUUCUGAGAUGCAGCAAGAGUUGCAGGUUGAGAUGGACUAAUUAUUUGAGACCAGGGAUCAAAAGAGGGCAAUUCACAGAUCAUGAAGUCAAGCUCAUCAUCCACCUUCAGGCUCUUCUUGGAAACAGGUGUGUACAUAUAUGAUCGAUGUUGUUUAAUUUACUGAGAUAUAUGGAUCAGACGAUCGAUCGAUGGUGUAUUAUAAUUAAUUAAUAUCACUAUAUUUUGGUUUAGGUGGGCGGCAAUAGCUUCAUACCUACCGGAGAGGACAGACAACGACAUCAAAAACUACUGGAACACGCAUCUGAAGAAAAAACUGAAGAAGCUUCAUUCAUCUCAAGGUAACGAUGGAUUCACCAAAGGGCAGUGGGAGAAGAAACUCCAGACUGACAUAAACAUGGCGAAGAAAGCUCUAUGUGACGCUCUAUCCAUUGACCAGCCAAACAUAAAUGCUUUGCAGACCUAUCUCUCUCCAACCCAUCAAAAACAGAAGCACCAAA
This 82303-nucleotide long non-coding RNA is filed under the name Zostera marina. RNAcentral describes it as "long non-coding RNA (ZMAR_LNC000941)". The stretch from base 3400 to 3481 matches the Rfam family "tRNA". The record is from RNAcentral. Lineage: Eukaryota; Viridiplantae; Streptophyta; Magnoliopsida; Alismatales; Zosteraceae.